CUGAGUUUUCUUGAUGGCAGAAUGUCCGUAGUUUUGGAAGCCUAUUGAGCUCCAGUCUUCGUAGCUUAGUGAACAAGUAAGUCUGAGGUACCCCUUCGUCUGUUGCGGCUGCUAAUCCAUCUGUAAAGAUUAUUUCUUCCAUGUUCUCGCAAUCGCGAAGGAAAAGUGUAUCGAGCUGCUCAAGAUUUUUGACUAAAAAGGAUGGGAAUAGAUAUUCCAAAUUGUGGCAACCCUUCACAAGUAAGACUUGUAAGUUGAGAACACCAGGGGAUAUAGCCUUGUCUGGUUUAUCAGGCCAUAGUUUUUUGAUGUUAGUUGAUGAUAGUUCCAACUGCCGCAACCUGGCACACAAAACCUGCAGACACAACCCUCAUUGCAUGAAUUAUGCAUGUUUGUGAUGAUAAAUACAUAAACUCAUUAAUGAAUGCUAAAGAAUUUGUUAUUAAUGUGAUUGAUAAACUUCAAGUUCAAGUAAUAGAAACAAAACAAUUUGAAUUAUCAUUAAAAACAAUUAUAUAAUUAAUGGUCAGAAUUUUUUUUUUCUCAAGAUUAAGGAAUUAUCUUAAGGAAUGAAAUUUUUAUUUCACGGCUCAAAGAAUUCUAGAAAUUGACAUGGAGAAUUACACAAAUUUCAAAAGGCUAAUUCUAAAUGUCCCCAUAUUAGGUGAUUUCUAUUAGAACCUUGGCUGUAAAACUUACAAUGCUACAAAAAAUUGUAAGGUGAUAAUUUCAUCAAGGCCGAAGAUGUAGGUUGUUUAACUGAACUGCAUAAAAAAACCUCUAGUCUCCGUUACCAUUUAUGCUUUACUAUUAUUUAUUACAUUUUUGCAUUGUCAUAUUAUACUCUUACAAUAUUAGUUAUAACAUGCAAUUAGAACAGUCUUUAACAUAGGACAUUUCUAGUUUCUCUAUGUAAAAAUUAUGUACUCUAGUUUCUUUUUCUAUUAUCUAAUUUAAAUUUUCACCCAAAUAAAUUAAAAAGUUAAAGCACUAAGCAAAAGAGAAGAGACUAACCUUAUGGUUGAAAAAGGGUGUAAUCUUUUCUCUGCCAACUACCUCUAUAUCCUCUUGCUCCCUUGUAGAUGCCAUUGCAUACAUCUUUGGGCAAUCAUCCACUACAAUUUUAAGCAAAGAUGAACAUUUCAGGGUAAUACUUCCCAUACAAAAACUUGUCAACCUUGAACAUGACUCAAGUCUUAUCCAAUUAAGCAUGGGUAACAAGAGUGUAUCCAUUUCAGUUUCCUCUGCUCCUUUUUUGAUAAUCUGCCUCAUCAUAGGGCAUUGUUUCACUUUUAUGUCUUCUAGCUGCGAAAGAUCUAAAGCCAUGGAAACGCUAAAUAUGUAUGUCAUGGUAUUACACCCAUAAACUUCUAAAACCUUAAGUUUCUUGAAAUCUAUACUUCCAUGAAUGUUCUCCUUCCAUAUUUCAAUUGACCUGGAAAAUUCAGAGAGGACUAAAUACUCGAUAGCUUGGAACCCAGCCUACAAAAUCCAACAAAGAAACAAGGAUUAAAGUUCAUAAAGGUUAUAAUGAAGCCAACCCAAAUCGCAUGAAAGAAAGAAUAACCAAAGCUAAAUUAAAGGAAUAUACAGUAAUACCUUUAUUGAAUACAUUUCUUGGAUAGUGUUAUUAAGGUCACUACACCAAUUUCCAUUACCUUUUCCAUAGUCUACUUUUUGCAAUAAUGGUGGAUUAGUUAAAACUCCCUUACAAAAUAUCUCCAAUUCAAGGCAACCAUUCACUAUUAAUUCCUCUAAACACGGGAAUCCAAAUGUGUGGUUGCCUGAACAAAAGCUCUUAAGUCGCGGUAGAUUCACAAGUUCCAAACUUUUCAACCUGCUGAAAAUAAUGUCACAAGUUGCUUCAUCUCCCUCAGUUGCAACUAUUUCCUUCAUUGAAAUGCAGUCUCUUACCAUCAACUUCUUGAGUUGGGCCAUACCUUGGAAUACUAAACAUGUAUCUAAGUAUUUCAUUGUUUUGCAAUUCGACACAUCCAAUGUGGUGAGAUUUUGAAAUGAUGCUGAGGAUGAUCCUAAGCUGAUCAAAUUGUCACAAUGGUGAACUUCAAGAGUCUCAAGUUUGGGUAGAAUGUGGCCCACUUGUACGUCUUGCUUCCACAAAUAAUCUUUUAGAUCAUAAAGACCUUCCAAUUUUAAGUUUCUAAUUGUUGACAAAGUCCCAGCAUACAUCUCCUCAUUACCGGUAUCUCCUUCGGUACAGAAUAGCUCUUUUAUAUUACAAGAGAUAGUAAGGUUUUCUAGAGUGUAGAAUCUCUCAAGGAAAGAAAUUCGGAAAUCAAUUGGUUCAGCACCGCCGCCACUCACUUCAAAAGUUUUUAUUUCAUGAAAAAGGCUGCUUGAAAAUUGACCAUCACUUAUCAUUGCAAUGUAAUCACUAUCUAAUGUCAAAUGUUGUAGUUUAGGGAAGAUCUGAAAACCAAUCAAAAAACAAUUUAGGAGUCAAUAUAUUCAUCUUUGAAUUAAGAAAGAAAAGUGCAGACAGGAAGAAUAGCUUCUGUUACAUAAAUGAAACACCAUAUACUUUCAAAGAAAUUCUUAAUUAAUAUCAUAUUCUCUACAUCAAUAAAUUAGUUUUCUAAAUAAUAUUUUAAUUUUAAUUAUCAUAAAUUUUUAUGUUAAUUAAUUAAAUAAAAAAAACCAACAAUAAUAGUAAAUUAAGAUUGAUGGUUUAGAGUUUAAUCUAAAAUUUUAGAUUUUAGAGUUCAUGGUUGGAUUUAUAAUUUAUGGAUAAGGGUCGAGAUAUAGAAUUUAAGAAAGUUUCUUUGAUUUGUUAAUUAGAGUAAAAAGAAAGUUACUUUUAAGAAUAAUUUAAUAUUUUGAGUAGGAGUGAGAGGAUUCGUACCUUUUCAACCAAGAAAAGUGGUGGAGGGAUUGAGGAGUCAAGUUGUCCAUUGUUAGUGUUCACUUGUGUACCAAAUAUCUUCAUUUUCCCACAAUCAACUAAUUCCAACUUGUUUAACAUUGGCCACUUUGCAAUAUGUUUACCCGGGUAGAAACAUUUCAAUUUCGGUAGAUUCGAAAGUGCAAGGGUGCAUAGUCGAUCAAACUUGAAAUUGACAGUCGCUUCCCAAUCAGAUCCUUCCCCUAAUUUGGAAACAAUCUCCUCCACUCCACAAAGAAAUAUAUGAAGAUAACCAAGUUGCGGUAGGUCUUGGGCUAUUGAGGCUGGAAAUACAUUCUUCAAACUUGGACAGUCAAAAACAGAUAUUGAACAGAUUUUUUUAAAUGAAAAAAUUACUCUGGGAUCAUUUUUCCAAAUAUAUUUCAACUUUGGUAAUCCUCCAAUAUGCAAUUCUUUGAGUUGAGUGAUUGGAGGUAAAGCGGGUUUUUUUUCUUCAUGCAUGAUUUCAAAUACUUGUUGUAAGGAACCACAAGUCUUUAUGGUUAGACGGUGCAGCCUUUGAAAUGUUGUCACCAUAUUAGAUGGAAAAAUGGUCAACAACUUAUCACAUCUUUCAACUCUCAAUUCUUGAAGUUUGGGAAAUGAAUUUGCUGGAAGUGGGUUCCGCCAUAACAUCUUCAUCUUACUCAAGUAGGAAACACUCAUUUCCUCUAAACUGGGAAAUGCAACCUGCAUUUAUGCCAAUAUAAUGGAAUUAAAAGUUAGUUGUUGGUUUAAUUUAUUGUCAAACAAUGAGAAAAUGAGUAAACCUAAAAAUUAAGAAUUAACCCACCUUAUUGUCAAACAAAUCACCGUGACUAGAGAUUCGUCGGUUCCCUUCGCUUGUAUAUCUACAUAUGAAACCCUCCAAUAUUGGACAGUUGUAUAUCGUCAUUGACUUCAAGAAUGGAAAUUCAAUAACUUUAUUUUGGGAAUUGGAGCAAAAUCCACUCAAAUGCGGAAGGUCCUUUAGCUCUAAGGACUUUAACUGAGGAAAUAAUGAUAAAACCGUAGCAGCCUGACUUUCUUCUUCUAUAAUAUUCUCCGAAAAAAUUAUCUCUCUUAAGAUGUUGCAUGCCGUUAUCUCAAAGUAUUUGAGAUGAACUAGAUAUUUAGCCAUAGAAAAUGAUAAUAGGUAUUUUAUGUUUCCACAACCAUCAAUUUUCAAUGUGGUUAACUUCUCGUGAGUACAAAAAGAUACAUUUGGCAAUUGGUUGUGCCAUAUCCUUGUAACAUUAAGUGAUGACAACCGCAAUUUCUCCAAGGAAGGAAACGAUAUCUACAACCAUACACAAAGUUAAUUCUACUUUCAAAUAAAUAUUGUAAAUAUAUAUAUAUAUAUUUCUAAUGAAAUAUUUACUUUAUAAUUCUAUUUUUGCAAUUACUAAAUACAAUAAAAAAUUAUCCGUUUGAAAUUUCUAAUUGUGAUAUGCUUCCAAUUGCAAAACAUGACACAUAUUUUCUAAAAAUUUAAAAUUUAUUUAUGAGAACUUUUUUUUUCCUUAAAAACAAACAUACUUAUUGAACAUACAAUACAAACAUGCGAAUAACUCAAAAAAACCACAAAUAAAGUCUGCCAACCAAUAAAAAGUGUCAUAGUGUAGAAAAAUUCUAGUAAAUAUAAAAUAUGAUCAGAAAAACGAAAAAAAAAAAACACCACCACAAGAGCAAUAUUGCAUGAUUCAGAAAAGGAAAGAAAGCCCCGAAAGAAAAACUAGAAAUAUAUUGAACUAUACAUACCUUUUCUCCGAAAAGUGGCAAUUCACGUUGAGGCAAUGAGGUACCAUCGAUUUUGUCUUGAGAGCAAAAGCUUACGAGUUGAGGAAGACCCUCCAAUGUCAAGGACUGCAAUUAUGGAAAUUGAUUUCUAUCAUUAAUUAUAGAUUCAAUAUCCAAACCAUUUUGGAUGUGCAGAUUCUGCAAAUGUAAUAGCCUUUCCUCAUCUGUUAACUCCUCCAGUGCAAUCUUCACACCUUUCAGUUCAUCCAAUUGUAAAUCUUGAGUUCUCUUUGCCAACUUCUUAAUUCCAUGAUCCAAAUCAUCAAUGCUUGUGUUUAGCCUGAGUUUUAAGGUUCUUGAAUAUUGAUAGUUGCCAAACCGCUCCCAUUCCUUUCCUAUGCAAAUCUUGUAUCUUUCCAACUUUUGCAACUUUUGAAAGAAGUCCUCUGGGGCAGCCUUGGCGUUCGGAAUUUGAACUUCUAAAGUGGACAAAUGAGACAAUGUGUUCAGUUCAGCAAGACUAGCAUUGGGUUGUCCCCAUUGAAUAGAAGUGCCACCCAUAUAUAAUUCUUCUAAUUUUGGCAAACUUGGCAACACGUCAGCUGAAAUUGUUUUGAGUUUAGUACAACCACUUACAUCUAACAACUUUAGCUUCAACAAGUGCCCAAUUUCCUUGGGUACAAUUUUGAUAUCAGACCCAGCAAGGCUAAGCACAUUUAAGCUCUUGAGUGCUCCAAUAAUGGUUAGGUUAUCACCCAAAUUGCAGUGAUCUAGGCACAAUGUACUGAGGCUAGUUAAGAGACCAAUUGAUGAAGGUAAAGGAGAAAAAUGCAUGCAAGUCAAACCUAAGACUUUAAGAUUUUUUGCUUCCUUGAAGAAGUUAUCCGGCAACGUCAAGGAGAGAUCCUUGCUUGACAAAAGGAAAAGAAAAAGCUGCGGACUAUUCAACUGGUCAGGAAGCUCGUUGAUACUAGGAUCCCGCAAAAUAACCUUGUUGCACUCUAUUAGAAUAUACCCAUACCCCAUACCUUGCCCAUACCUUUCCCAUACCUACCCAUACUUUGGAAAGGUCAAAGUUAUGGGCACCAAAUAUUUUAUUUAGUGUUGGGCAUGGGAAAAUAGCAAUUUUUGGUCCCUAAGUGAAUAGUGACUUUGCAAGGUGGCCCUUGAAUCUCAACUAUAAAUAGGCCAACCAUUGCUCAUUCUCAUCAUCCCACAUUUGCCAUUCUCUACUUAAGGCAUUGUUCUCUCUCCCUAUUUGUAAAGUUUCACUUGUAUUUUUGGAGUGAAAUAUAUUUGGUAGUGCCCGAGGACGUAGGCAAGAUUUGCCGAACCUCGUUAAAAUUCUGGUGUUCUUUACUAUUUAUUGUUCAUAUUUUGUGAGUGUGAUUGUAGUGAUUUAUUGUGCUAUUAAAUUACGAUAGAGGGAUAUUCUGGCUAGGAAAGACUUGGUACUUAAGUGAUCCUCGUGAUUCACCUCUCUUUCCUGGGAAUUGAACUUAGUGUGAUUUUUUAGUACAAUAAUUUUACUCUUUCACACGCUUCCGCGCAACAAUUGGUAUCAGAGCCAGGUUCGUACUUGGAGAAUACGACCGUUUACGGUACUAUUCACGUAUACGGCACUAUUCACGUAUACGGUACUGUUCACGUAUACAGUAGUUGGGAUUGAGAAAUGGCAGCAGCAUCGUCAUCAGCAAGGACUACUGUGACAAAUGCAAAAUUUGAAGUAGAGAAAUUUGACGGUACCAAUAAUUUUGGUAUGUGGCAAUGUGAGAUCCUGGAUGUCUUAUGUCAGCAAGAGCUAGAUAUAGCCCUUGAAGAAAAACCUGACAAGAUGGAUGACAAGGAGUGGGCCAAGAUCAAUAGACAGGCGUGUGGUACAAUCCGCCUAUGUUUGGCCAAAGAGCAGAAGUAUUCUGUCAUGAGGGAGACAUCAGCGAAGAAGUUAUGGGAUACACUGGAAGAAAAGUUUCUAACGAAAAGUCUUGAAAAUAGGCUUUAUAUGAAAAAGAAACUUUAUCGAUUCACGUAUGCACCCGGUAUGUCGAUGAAUGACCAUGUGAACUCAUUCAAUAAAAUUUUAGCAGACUUGCUAAAUUUGGAUGAGAAAUUUGAAGAUGAAGACAAGGCAUUAUUAUUGUUGAAUUCCCUUCCUGAUGAAUAUGAUCAUCUUACCACCACAUUGCUUCAUGGGAAGGACACGAUCACAUUUGAUGCAGUCUGUAGUGCGUUGUAUAGAUCUGAGACUCGAAAGAAAGAUAAAAGAGAUCACAGAGAUACAACCGCAGAAGUCUUAACAGUAAGAGGUCGUUCACACAGCAGCAAACCUGGUAGAAGGGGUAAGUCCAAAGGGAGACCCGCCAAAGAUGAAUGUGCCUUUUGUCGUGAGAAAGGGCAUUGGAAAAAGAAUUGUCCUAAGUUACAAAAGGGCAAGUCUAUUUCUAAUGCAUGUGUAGCGGAGCAUGAUGAGGAGUCAGACUUUAGCUUGGUUGGCAUGGCAAUGGCAUGUCAAACGGAUGAGUGGAUAUUGGAUUCGGGAUGUACUUACCAUAUGUGUCCUAAUAAGGACUGGUUUUCUAGUCUUGAAGAACUAGAAGGUGGAGUUGUUUUUAUGGGCAAUGAUAGUGCCUGUAAGACAAUGGGUGUAGGUACAAUCAAAUUGAAGAACCAUGACGGCUCAAUCCAAGUUCUGACAGAUGUUCGCUAUGUACCCAGCUUGAAGAAAAAUCUCAUCUCAUUAGGGGCCCUAGAAUCUAAAGGGUUCACAAUCACUUUGAGAGAUGGAUUACUAAAGGUAGUAGCUGGGGUAUUGACGGUGAUGAAAGGCACUAGAAGAAAUAACUUGUACUAUUUAAAUGGAAGUACAGUUAUUGGAUCAACAUCAACAGCUUCUGCGAAAGAUGCAGAUUCAGAGGCUACCAGGUUAUGGCAUAGGCGAUUGGGACAUGCUGGUGAAAAAGCUUUGCAGACUUUGGCGAAGCAAGGCUUGUUGAAAGGUGCAAAUUCUUGCAAAUUGGAAUUCUGUGAACAUUGUGUUCUGGGCAAGCAGAAGAGGGUAAAAUUUGGUCCAGCAAUUCAGAAUACGAAAGGAAUUCUGGACUACGUUCACAGUGAUGUGUGGGGACCUACCAAAGUGGCUUCUUUGGGAGGUAUGCACUAUUUUGUCACUUUUCUUGAUGAUUAUUCAAGAAAAGUAUGGGUGUAUCUAAUGAAAAGAAAAAAUGAAGUUUUGGAUGCAUUUCUGAAGUGGAAGAAGAUGGUGGAGACUCAGACAGGUCGAAAGGUCAAACGACUUCGAUCAGAUAAUGGUACUGAGUACAAAAAUGAUCCAUUUCUACAAGUAUGUCAAGAUGAGGGCAUUGUGCGACACUUCACUGUUCGAGAUACACCACAGCAGAAUGGGGUGGCAGAACGCAUGAAUCGGACUAUACUGGAGAAAGUUCGAUGUAUGUUGUCCAAUGCUGGAUUGGGCAAGGAAUUUUGGGCUGAGGCAGUUACAUAUGCGUGCCAUCUAAUUAACCGAUUGCCAUCAGCUGCAAUAAAUGGAAAAACUCCGAUGGAGAUGUGGACUGGUAAACCUGCUACUGAUUAUGAUUCUUUACAUGUUUUUGGUUCCACUGCAUAUUAUCAUGUAAAAGAAUCUAAGUUAGACCCAAGAGCAAAGAAAGCAUUAUUCAUGGGUAUAACUGGUGGUGUAAAAGGAUACCGUCUCUGGUGUCUUGAUACAAGGAAGAUUGUUUUCAGUAGAGAUGUAACUUUUGAUGAAUCAACCAUGAUGAAGAACGAGGAUUCACAAAAGGAUGACAAAACCAGUAGUACUUUGCAGCAGGUGGAGUUUGAAAAGGUUAAUGAUGAUCCAGCUAAUAUUGAAAGAACAAAUGAUGAAGAAGUUUCGACCCAAGAACUUCUACAGCAACAAGAUUCAAUUGCAUAUAGGAGGCCAAGAAGAGAGAUUCGUAAGCCUGCUCGCUUUGACGAUAUGGUGGCCUAUGCACUUCCAAUUGCAGAUGAUGAUGUUCCUUCCACUUACACAGAAGCAAUAAGUAACUCUGAUGGUGUAAAGUGGAAGCAAGCUAUGAAUGAAGAAAUGCAGUCUCUUCAUAAAAAUAGGACUUGGGAGUUGGUGAGACUGCCCAAGGGAAAGAAGGCAAUUGGAUGCAAAUGGGUAUAUGCAAAGAAGGAACGAUUUCCUGGUAAAAAUGAAAUUCGAUACAAGGCUAGAUUGGUAGCAAAGGGUUACGCUCAGAAAGAAGGAAUAGACUACAAUGAAGUGUUUUCUCCAGUUGUGAAGCAUUCGUCUAUUCGGAUUUUGCUAGCCUUGGUUGCGCAAUAUGAUCUUGAACUAGUUCAGCUUGAUGUGAAGACCGCGUUUUUACACGGUGAUUUGGAAGAGGAAAUCUAUAUGACUCAGCCAGAUGGAUUCAAGGUUGCUGGAAAAGAAAAUUGGAUUUGCAAACUGACAAAGUCGCUUUAUGGAUUGAAGCAAUCUCCGAGGCAGUGGUACAAGCGAUUUGAUCAGUUCAUGAAAGGGCAAAGGUACACAAGAAGUAAAUUUGAUCAUUGCGUGUAUUUUCAGAAGCUACAAGAAGGAACUUUCAUAUACUUGCUCUUAUAUGUUGAUGAUAUGCUAAUAGCAUCUAAGAGCAAAGUUGAGAUUGAAAGAUUGAAGACUCAACUCAAUCUCGAGUUUGAGAUGAAAGAUCUAGGAGAAGCUAAAAAGAUUCUCGGCAUGGAAAUAUGUAGAGAUAGAGCUCAUGGCAGAGUUAGCUUGUCUCAGAAGCAGUAUUUGAAGAAAGUACUACAGCAGUUUGGUAUGAACGAGCAGACCAAACCUGUAAGUACCUCGUUGGCUUCUCAUUUCAAGCUUUCUGCACAACUAUCUCCUUCGACGAAUACGGAACAAGAAUACAUGUUGCAAGUUCCGUAUUCUAAUGCAGUGGGUAGCUUGAUGUAUGCAAUGGUGUGUACAAGACCCGACAUUUCACAGGCAAUUAGUAUAGUGAGCAGGUAUAUGCAUAAUCCUGGAAAAGGACAUUGGCAAGCUGUGAAAUGGAUUCUACGGUAUAUUCAGAAGACCGUGGAUGUUGGAUUACUGUUCAAGCAGGAUAAUACACUUGGUAAAGGUGUUAUUGGGUACGUUGAUUCUGACUAUGCCGGUGAUUUGGACAAGCGAAGAUCAACCACCGGUUAUGUGUUUACACUUGCUGGAGGACCAAUAAGUUGGAAGUCUACACUACAGUCUACAGUUGCAUUGUCAACCACAGAAGCCGAGUACAUGGCUGUAACAGAGGCUGUAAAGGAGGCUGUUUGGUUACAAGGUAUGGCUAAAACCUUGGGGUUGGUUCAGGAGCAUAUUAACGUGUAUUGUGAUAGUCAAAGUGCUAUUCAUUUAGCAAAGAAUCAAGUCUAUCAUGCACGUACAAAACAUAUCGACGUACGAUUCCAUUUUGUGCGGGAAAUUAUUGAAGAGGGGAAAAUUUGUCUUCAGAAGAUCAAGACUGCAGAUAAUCCCGCAGAUAUGAUGACCAAGGUGGUAACAGCAACCAAGUUCGAACAUUGUUUGAACUUGAUUAAUAUCCUGCAAGUUUAACAGUUGAAGAAGGCACUAUCAAGUAUUGUUGUCAAAAGCAGAAAGAAUUGUGUGAAGAUAAGAUUAUCCUAAUCAAAUCUUCAAGGUGGAGAUUAUUAGAAUAUACCCAUACCCCAUACCUUGCCCAUACCUUUCCCAUACCUACCCAUACUUUGGAAAGGUCAAAGUUAUGGGCACCAAAUAUUUUAUUUAGUGUUGGGCAUGGGAAAAUAGCAAUUUUUGGUCCCUAAGUGAAUAGUGACUUUGCAAGGUGGCCCUUGAAUCUCAACUAUAAAUAGGCCAACCAUUGCUCAUUCUCAUCAUCCCACAUUUGCCAUUCUCUACUUAAGGCAUUGUUCUCUCUCCCUAUUUGUAAAGUUUCACUUGUAUUUUUGGAGUGAAAUAUAUUUGGUAGUGCCCGAGGACGUAGGCAAGAUUUGCCGAACCUCGUUAAAAUUCUGGUGUUCUUUACUAUUUAUUGUUCAUAUUUUGUGAGUGUGAUUGUAGUGAUUUAUUGUGCUAUUAAAUUACGAUAGAGGGAUAUUCUGGCUAGGAAAGACUUGGUACUUAAGUGAUCCUCGUGAUUCACCUCUCUUUCCUGGGAAUUGAACUUAGUGUGAUUUUUUAGUACAAUAAUUUUACUCUUUCACACGCUUCCGCGCAACACACUCUUUCAUUGACUCUCCAGUUCGCCAAUCUGUUACAACAUCCUCAUCCUCGUCCUUAUCCUCCUCUGUUAAAGCAAGCACUUGAUUGUCCUUUGAAGCGAUUGAUUUGGCCACAAUAUAAGUAAGAUCAUGCACAUCAAAGUACUCCUUAUUGGAACUUUGGCUAUCAAGCAACAAACAAGAUUCUUUGAGGGUACUCAGCAUUUUUAACAGCCUAUCUCGUGCUGCUUUCAUGCUGUUGGCUCCGUUAAUUAGACCCAAAGCAAGAGCAUAUCUCAACAAGUCUUCAAUCCUAGUGUCACGACGCAGUAAACUGCAAAGUAGGAAAAUCUGCUUGAGGUCUUCACUAGAUAAAUGAUCGAUACUGUACUUGAUAGCCUUAUAUACCUCAGCAGAUAUAUCAUCCGAGCUUUUUUCUAAGCAAGGCCUCUGUAAUUGUUGUAAAGCAUCCCUCCAAAAAAAUAAAGGCUUAUUUCGCAACGCCCUUGCAACAGUUGCAAGGGCGAGUGGUAAUCUUGCACAUUUUUUGGCUACCUCAAUUGCUGUAGAUCGCAGCUCCUCAUCACUUUCAACAAUGUCCCCGGCCAUCUUCUUAAAGAACUCCCAAGCUUCUUCGCCAUCUAAAUCACCAAUUGCAAAGGUCUUUGUAGCAUCCUUCCCGUUGUUUAGAACAUUUUGAUAUCUUGAGGUCAACAGUAUUUUGCAUCCUUUGUAUUGACUUCCAAAUGGAAUUCCGACUUCCUCUAGAUCCAGUUUCUUCCAAAGAUCAUCCAAAAUAAUAAGAACAUUUUUCUCAUUCUUUAACCUUUCAUACAAUUUACGGGCUCUUACAUACGGACUGUUUUCUUCAAGCUCCAAGCGCAAUGAGUACGCUAUUUGAUUUUGGAUUUCCUUAAUGUCAGCAUUUUGACGUACAGUGACCGUAACUACUGAAUCGAAUAACUUAACCUCACAGAGUUGUCUCUCAACUUCGUUGACCAGCCAUGAUUUGCCCACACCAGCCAUCCCGUACACUCCAAUCAUGCUUGUUGUUGCAUCUUUCAGUAACUCCAUGAUAUCAUGGAAAACCUCCUCUCUUGAUUGAAAGGUCUCAAAGUCUGUAUGGAUUAUGGGUUCAGCAACAUAAGGGCAUCCCACGCGCUCAAAACGGCCAUCGUCGAUAAGCUUUUUAAAAUUGGCAGCAUCUUCUUCUGCUUUCUUGCUAAGCUGGUAGCGAGACUUGAUGUUGGGACACAAGCCAAAGAAGCACUUGGUCUUUGCUUUGACUUCAAGAUCGUUCACUUUCUUCGCCUCUUCAGUGAAGAUCUCAUCCACUUUGUGGCGCCAUUCCUGGACAUUGGUUUUAAUAUUCUCCAAGUUCGCUAGUGCAAAAGCAACAUCCUCCUGCACACUUGUUCUUUCUAUAUUCAACUUCUUUUUUUCCUUCUCGAACUCGGCAACAAAUUUCUGGUAGAAGAUUACAUAUCUAAUAUGACGUAUAGCUUUGCGGAAGAUACCUUUCGCAGCAGCGGUUGUGACCUCGUGAGCAGCACCAGUAAAUAUUGUAUCCAUUUUUUUUUUUUGGCUUUGGGGUUAGAGAUGACAGUCAGAAAGAGUAAGAAACAAAAUAGAAAAACGAAAGAAGGAAGCAAGAAGAAAAAAAAAUGAUGUGAAGAAGCCAAUAGCCGAUAAAUGGAAAUGCUGAAAGAAAACAGAGAAUGGAUGUGGGUAUUGUCUAGGGUAAGUGUUGGAUCGUAUAAAUAUGUUUUGAAGUUUGAACCUUAUUUUGUUUUUGGCUUCUCCUAUAUCUAAUACCUUGUUAAACAACUGAGGAGGUUGGCCACUUGUUCAAUAACAAAUCAUUUGUAUCAUGAUAAUUGAUAUGGUAUUGUUUCGGUUCUACUCUAAACUGGUACGGAAUAGUUUAUAUUUAAGGGAAUUUGAGUAGAAGUAGUAUUAGAUUUGUAUUAAGGAUGAUAUAAAUAAUUGAGGAGGUUGACCAUGCGGGUCUCAGGGAAUACCAUGUGACGGAAAACCAUUUGUAUUAUCAUAAUCGAUAUCGUAUUCUUCGGGUCAAAACUUUAGUGUGUUUGAGCUUAUUUUAGUUAAUAUUGGUGUACUUGUAUUAAAUUAUAAAGUCAAAAGUUAAAGUUGAAAUAUAUUUUAUACACUUGUUUGACAUUUAGUUUUUCUAUUCUUACAAUUAGGAAUUUAAAAAUGUAGAUCUAGUUGUUAGUUCCAUUAAAAUUCUUCUAUUAAAUUAUAUAGUAACAUUUAUAAAUUAAAAAUAUUUACUUAUUAGUUAUUUUACAAUAAAAAAUAUUAUAAAUAUUGAUUAAGGUUUUCCUAAAAAACACAUAUUCAACUUCAUGAUAAAAAAAAUUUGUUUGAAUAAUGUUUUUAGUAAAAAUUGACAUCAAUGUUUCGAUUGACAUAGUUAACAAUAUUAAUUAUUUAGACUAAUAACAUGAUAACGUGAAAUGACCAAACUAUGUUAAAAACUAAAAUGAAUAUGUGACACUCCAUAUCCGACUCAACCAUCUAGUCCGAUUCAUCUAACCACUUGUACUGAUACAAAUUUACUAAGAUCCGAAAAUUAACCCAAAACACAUCUAAUUUAGCUCAAAAGAAUACCCUUUCAAUUCUAAGUAUUAUGAAACACAAAAUACUUGUUUCAAACCUCAUAUUUUCCUAUUUAAACACAUCAAACACAUGGUUAUUAUCAUGGUCACAAUAGUUCCAAUUUCAAAUAUCAAUUUCACCUAUAAAGAAUGAAUGCAACCAACGAAACAGUGCAAAAUCAUUAACUUAAGAUCAUGCAUCUCAACAUAAUCACAUAUUAAUCAUAUCAUCACAUUGUUUCUAUGCUUAUAGAAUAUUCUUAUAUUACAGAUUUCAAGCAUAGAAAAUGAUAAGUACUAAAAGUAAUAUGUUUUAAUCAUAUUAUUAAUGCGAUUUUAGGUGAUUAUUCGAUGUUAAAGGUGAAUUUUAUGUUCCUAAUUCUCUAAAAUCAUAUUUUGAUACUUAAUAGAACAUUUGGGAGGAAAACAACGAAAAUAAAAAAAAACAGAACAAGUUACAAGUGCCACAUGGGCAAAAGAAAUUUUCUUUAGAGUCUCUAAAUUGAUGAACAUAUUCUCUACCAUCUCCGCUUCAUCUUUUCUUUUUGAUGUCUAAAGAAAUUUUUUAAAAAAUGAUGAAAAUAUGAAUUUUUGGCAAAAUACUAAAUUUUCUAAAAUUUAAAGUUUUACCUCUACCCCAUGAACGUGACAAGAAUCACUUAUAUAGAAGACAAAGAAGUUUCUUCAUUUUCUUAUAAAAAUAUCUCAUUAUUUUUUUAUUGAAUAAAACAUUAAAAUAUCUUAUAAUAAAAUAUUAAUUAAAUAACAAACCAAUCAAUUUUUAACACUUUCCACGUUUAAUCAUUACACCAUAUAAUUAUCUAAUUUUUGUAAUGAUCAUUUUACCUCUCAUGUUUUUUCAAAUUUCAUCCUUAAUCACAACUUACUUUUAGAAAAAUUGUGACUUACUCCCUCACAUUUAUUCUCUUAUUUAAUUUGGUUCCUACUUACCAAUCUCCCAUCACAAGAAAUUGGUUCACUUUUGGUCCUUCAAUUUUUCUUGUUUUUACACUUCAACCAUUUGAAUUCUAAAUAAUUAUACUAGUUUCUCAAAACUUUUCACAUCUUUACAAUCUAAUUCUUGCCGUAAAUUAACAUAUUACAUCAUACCUCUUAAUUCAAAAUUGUCCUUGGCAUCAGUCAACCUUUUUCUUUUCUUUUCUUUUCUUUAUAAUAUAUCGAUUUUAAGGGUGUUAUGUUCUAAAAAAAGGGAUUAUAUUAAAAACUAUAAGUAAUAAUUGUAAAAGUAAAUGUAUGCACAAUGUUAUUUAUUAAAAAAUUAUUCAUUAUUUGAAAAAUUAAAUUACAGUAAUUUAUUACUUGCGCAUAUAUGUAUUAAAUGGAAAAAGGAACUUAGCCUAAACUAAAAUUGUCAAUGUAUUCAUGUGUAUUUUAAUUUGUUGACAUAUAAAAACUUUUUCUUUUAAAAAAUAUUUAAAAUUUAUUUAAUUUAUAUAUAUUGUUUAACUUUUUUAAUAUUAUUUUUAAAAUAUUUCAGGAAUGGUUGGGAAAAUGAUAAAAAUGUUUGAACAAGAGAAUGUUAUUGUUUCAAAAUCCAAAUCAGACUUUGAAACAUCAAUGGUUAUAUACAUAUUGUAAGAGGCCUAAUUUUGUUCGGGCCCUAAACCGAAACCAAAAAUAAAAAUAAAAAUUAACAGUCUCAAAGCUCAAUUACAUGUCAAGCUUAAAACAAAAACCUUAACUCAAAGUUACAAGCCCAAUGGCUCAAAACACUUAAAAAAUUUUAGAAAACAAAAAAACCCUAGGUCCUUUUGCGCCGCUUAUCCCUUAGCACGUGCACCGCCCAUUCUGCCACCGUUUCACCAAAAUAGCCAAAGGUCUGCCUCCCUGUCGCCGUUAACCGUAUUAGUACCUGCAAGAAAAGAGAAAGAAAAAGGACCAUGGAAGCAAAAAAAAAAAAAGCAAAGAACAGUGGCUAAAUAGUUGCAAAAAUAGUAAAAUAUAACAUGUAAAUUGGCUAUAAAAGCCGCAACAAUCCAUGUAAUUUAGGGUAGAAAAACGAGCAAUCGAAACAAAGGAGAAAGAAAAAUUCUAAAAAGGUGGUCUUUUUUAGAAAAAUUCUAAAAAGGUGGUUUUUUUUUCUUACACUAUUUUAUAUUUUUUGUAAAUAAACAUAAAAUAAAAAAUGAGUUGAAAACUUACUGUGCUCUUCACAUUUUGCCAUAGUGAGUGUCCGAGGACCGUCAUCUCUAAUGAAAGAUGACAUCUUUCGGUCUCGGGGAAUCAAACGGCACAAAAAGCAGCAAUUUUUGCACUUUUCGGCCACCGUGGAUGGCGGAGCUGUCGCCGGCGACCGGUUGCCGCCACGGCGGCCCAAUGGCCAGCCUGAGAAGGCUAAUGAGAGAAAAUAGAAAGGGGUUUUCUAGUUUUUUUUUUUUGAAAAGGUGUUUGAAAUGAUAUUUUUUGAAAACUUUUUGGUAUUUAUAGGGACUUACACAACAUCAUUUUGGGCUCGACCCUUAGAUUCCCAAAACAACGUCGUUUUGAAUUACAACCUGAAUUCGGCUCGACCUUUUAAUAGGAUCCACGUGCUUUUAAAAAAUUACAUAAUUGCACCUUUGGUCCUUCCGCUUUUGCGGCUUGUUUGAAUCUAGUCAUGUCUUUUUUUUUUGCCACUUGAUUCUACUUUACUUUCAUUUUGGUCCUCGGACCAUUUCAAGGGAUGGGUACAUGAAAUGGCGUCGUUUCAGUCUACCCAAUAUCCGACCCGAACCACCCUAGGAUCCGCGUGUUUUUUCUUGGGGGAUAUUUGCGUUUUCAGUUCUUCUGCCUUUUAAGUUAUUUUUAAUUAGGUCCUAAUUCCAUUUAUUAUUAUUUUUAAAAAUUAUACCAUUUACUUUCAAACCUUUUCAAAUUUGGUCCUCAGAUCGUUGACCCCUCGGGGAAGGACGCACGUCUAGGAGUUUUGGGAUAUUUUCCCAUUUAGCCCCGUUAUCUUUAGUGUGUUAUGUUUUAGUCCUUUUUAGUUUUUUGUUUAUUUGUAAUUUAUAUUCCUUAAUUUCAUUCUGAUUUCAAAUUGAUCCUUGAUUCAUUUAACUUCAAUUUUUAAAAAAAUUUGUUUUAUUUACUAUUUAUUUAUUAUUUCUUUAAUCUUUUUUAAUAAUUAAAUUUCAUUUAUUUAUAUUCCUUUUAUGUAAUUUUAUAUUUAAUUAUCAUUGUUAUUAUUCUUAUUAUUAUUAUCAUUAUUAUUUAUUUUUCCUUUAUUAUUUAAUUAGUAUUAGAAUAGUAAAUAAGGUGCUUAUCGCCAUGCUAUUAUUAAUGCAAUUUUAUUGUCAUUAUCUCUUUUAGUUUUUUGUGUGUUCUUGUUAUUUUUUUAUUUUUUUAUUGCUUUUAUAUUCUGGCACUUUCAUGUCUACUAUUUGUUAAUCAUUCAUUUUUAUUUUUUACCUUAUUUAUUUUGUUAUUCUUAUGAUUUGAUUAUUAAUGUUAUUAUUGUUAAUUACAUUAGUAGUACUAUAGUAUUCCUCAUUUACUUAUUAUAUAUUAUUUUAAUGUUCUACUUAUAUAGCCACUUAACAUUAUUUCAUUAUCACUAUCUCAUACAUUAUGUUUAAAUAAUUACUCGUUUUUGUACUGUGCCCAACAAGUUAAAUGUACAUUACCUUAAACGUUAUGUUCAUCAUCGUACGAUGCAUAAAAUUUUUUAAAUCAAGGUAGUAUCCAUUAUUUUAGAAUUAGAAAAGUCGUGUUCCUAACUUAUGGAAUAUAGCUUCUUUCUAAAACCGAGAUAGUCAAAUAUUUACUUUAAAAUAAAUAAAAAAUGAUAUUUAAGUAACGAUCAAUUGGUGUUUAUUCUCGUUUUCGAGGAAUUAAAACAUUGUGUCCUAACUUACAGGACACGAUCCUUUUUCUCAAUUAACCUGAAAUAAGCCCUUUUCGUAAAAAUUACUUUAAGUAAGUUAGUGCCUUAAUACAGAAAAAAAAAGAUCGUGUUUUAAACUCUUUUUAAAUUUUCAAUUCACGACACUAAGACAUUAAUUAAUCAACUAGGUAUCAAUUUUGGUCGUUAUGAGGGUGCUAAUCCUUUCUCGUGCAUAAUCGACUCCUAAACCAGUUUCUUAAAUUUUGUAGACCAAAAAUUAUUGUUUUAGUAAAUCAAACCGUUUAUUAAAAUGAUCAAAUUACGAGGUGAUCCGAUCACGCCUCAUAAAAAAGGAUUAGUGGUGACUCACAUUUUCGUUUUUAAAUAAAAAGUCGAUUUCAAAAAGGUUUCGACAGCUUGGCGACUCCACUGGGGACAAAAUAAGAGAGUCAAGCCGAGAGUUGAUUACUUUUGGUCUUUUUGUCAAAAAUUGAUAAUUUGGUUUAAAUUUACGAUCCCUUCGUUGCAUGUCAUCCUUCAUUUUUGUGGUCUUCAUCAUUUUGUUGCAUAAUGAUAUGUUUGUUUUAUUGGUUUGAGUGUCUUGGUAUAUUUUUGUAUAUUGCAUUUCAUAAUCAUUUGAUUUUGCCCUUCUUAAGUAGGAGUGAGAAGUUAUUCCUUCGUGUGGUCUUCACCUCCAUAUAGGAUAGUGGAUCGCUUUCGGGAUACAUCCGUACCUACGUCUUCGUGAGAUUUUCAUCUCCGUAUAGCUAUAGGGAAAUGUAUUCCCUUGAACUGAACUCGGUCCGUAUGACCCUAUAAUGGGUGAGGAUCGAGGAAUCUUUUUGUUCAAGUACCCUUACUUUAGAACUGAACUGCAUAAUGAGUCCUAAGAGCCUACCCUAGGUAGAACCAUACCAAACCUCUAGUGGUCACCCGAUUAGGUGUUUUAUUUAUUUUUUGCUUUGAAUUCUAGAUUUGUAUGAAAUCUACUAACUUGUUUUGUUUUGGCUGUGAUUGCAUUGCAUUUUCAUCAUAGAAAAGGGUGUUGGUUCACAUUCAGUUACUAAAUAGAGAGCUUUCAUGGAAAAUAGAUUUCUUGAUAAAGUGAAAGACAAUGUGGCCAUCCUGACAUGGUCUGAAAAGACACAACAAGAGAAGGGUGAUAGUAUAAUGGAGGGAUAUAUGUCAGAAUUGUGGGAUCUCACUCGCAUCAGUGUGACUCAGAAUAAUCUCCAAGAGGUGAAAAAAAUAUGGGACCAAUGGGAAGACGAAACCAAGUAGUUAUUAUACUGUAACUAUAGUGAUUUGCCUUAUCUACUUGAUGUCAAAGUGGACAAGGACUUAUUCUGAGCUCUCACCCAGUAUUGGAAUCCCACCUAUAGCUGUUUACUUUUGAGAAGGUAGAUUCGAUGCCCACUGUAGAAGAGUACACAACUCUGCUCUAUUUCCCGAUGAUCCAAGCCGACAAAGCUUAUUCUUGAGCCGCCAACAUCUCGACUUUCUUGAAGAGGCUAAUGAGCAUAACGGGAAUGAGUGAGUAAUGGGUUACGGCCAGGAUUAAACAAAAGAGAGAUAGUAAAUGUAUCCCUUGAAAAAGUUUGUGGGAUUUGAUCUUGACACAUCCGGAUAUGAAGAAAAGAUUCGAUGUCUUCGCCUUGAGUAUUUACAAGUUGGUCAUCUUUCCCAAAGCAUUAAGGCAUAUAGAUGAGGCAGUUUCAGCUUUAUUUGACCGACUUGACAAAAGGGUCACACUCGUCUCGACAAUUUUGGCUGAAACUUUUAGAUCUUUGAAUGCAUGCCGAAUAUGAUUGGUGAUGGGGUAAAAAAGUCAAAGGCAACGUCCCUGCAUCAAGUCAAGGAAACACUCGGCCAAUAGAAGAACACCUACAAGUGAUCCCGUCUGAGCUAGAUAUUAUAAAGUAAGAUUUUGAAAAGUAGAAUUCGAAGCUAGAGAAAAAGAUAGAAUAGUUGGAAAAGGAAAAGAUGCAGCUAGGAUUAGACGUUGACGUCUAGAAGUUAGAAACCAAGAAAAUGAGAAAAAAAAAAAGAACAAGGCCGAGGAAAAUUUGGACAGUAUAAAAACAAAUUAUAAGAAGCUGCAUUUGUCAAUAAGGACUGCUGUGUUGGGAAAAACAUCGAAGUAAUGGCAGCAAUAGAUCAAAGAAGAAAAGAUUAAGGUUGAUCAGUGGGAAAAGAAAUUCCAAGAUGCUUGAGUUCGAGGAGAUGCUCUAGAAAAGGAUUUGUUAGAAAACUGAAAUAAAAAGGUUGGAUUGAGAGCCAGCGUAGCAGAAUUAGAAAGGUCGCUGCAUCAAUAUCUUAGUCGUAAUUCCUUAAUUGAGUUGAAAGUAAGGCUAAAUAAGAUUGAAAAGUUGAAGGGAAAGAUAGAAGACCUCAAAACCGUACUACAAAAUUGUGAACUCCGAGUUGAGCUUCUUGAAAUGAACAAUGAACACUGGAAAGUGCAACUCCAACGCUCUCAAGAUAGAUGAUAUUUUAAGCAUACGUUGAUGAUUCCUAAUUAUUCACUAAGUUCGUAAUGAAUUCACCCACUCCUCUCUUACUUCAUAGGUAAGUAGGUUGCGGAUGACAAUGGCAAGGUAGAUGACUUGGCAAGACUCAUCCCUGAAUAGAUAUUGACGAAUUUAGGAAAAAGGUGAUGGAGUUUUAUUUAUGUGGAUUUAGAUUUAUUAUAAUUUGACUCAGUUAUUGAAAUAAUAUCUUUUAAGUUUAAAGUUCAAUUUUUGUUUUGCGAACCGUUAAGUUAAACCUUGUUACUAAUUUCUUCUCAGCAUGAUUAAGUUUCAUGUUUCAUUAUAUUUCCAUGCAUGCGUACCAUGUUGUAUUCUUUCAAUUUUGCCAAAGUAUGUAUUAAAAUAAUAUGUGAGCCAGUUUUAUUGCAAAGAACUAUUUUUCUAUGACCCUUGCAUGUUAGUGACCCCAAUAUGUAUGUGAAGCCCUUUGUAGGAAUAUCUUACAAUAUAGCGAACCCUAUUAAAGCAUGGGAACUCUUUUGUGAAUGACUUCUUUGUUUGUGAAGCCAGUAUUGCAUGUGAACUUAGUCUUGUAUGUUCAAGUGCGAACUUAGGAAGUUUGAGAACUGCAAUUACUUUGCAAACUCAUGUUUUUGUGAGAACUUAUGCUUUAUGUUGUACUGCAAACUCAUAUGUUACUUUGUUAGGCAAACCUAUAUUGUAUGAUGUAUAAAGCCUAAGUUGAGGUGCGAACCUUAAUAAUAAUUUGUAUGUACUUCUACUUAUGUAUGAUUGUGUAUACCCUAAAUUGCUUGUUCGUAUCUUACAUGGGAACCCUUAAACCUUUCUAUUGUUUGACAUGCGAACCAUUCCUUUGUUUGUUUUGCAAGCUCACAUGUUUUACAUUUUGUGUAUGGUAUAAUUCCGUUGCACUGUUUUAACUUAACAUAUUAUUUGUUGUAAGUAAGUGAUGUGUUGGAGGUUAGGUUGAGAGUUAAUAGAGAGUCACUUAUAACUCGCUAAAAUUGGGUCGAACUUACUUGGCUAAAUUUAAGGUGUUAUAGGACAAUUACCUAAAAAAGAUUAUAGCAUUGUUAGAUGUACAUAUCAAGGUAAUUAUUGUCUUUUCCUCUUUACUCUUUGACACUAUCUAAGCAAACUUUAUUAAAUGAUUAAAUUUUCUAAAUUGUAUCAUAUUUCGGGUUCAUAUCAACUAAAUGCAUUAAAAAUCUUAUAUAUCCAUCAUAGUUGAUCUUUCAAUACAGAAAGCAAAGCUUUAUGCCUUAAAUAAAUUACAUUCAAAUAUUUUUAUUUUAUUAUUAACUUUGUUAUUUGAGGAUAAAUGAUAAGAAAUAUUGUUAUUUGUUAGGCUUUCUAAUCAUGAUUCUCAGGAUAUGACAACAUUCUCUAUGCCUGAAAAAAUUGGAAGAAUUGGAUGUUUCUUUGAAACAGAUCAGCGAUCCAUCAUUUACAACUACAAACCGUAAAAUGAAUAUUCUACAUUUUAAUGUUCAGUUUCAUCUCGAUUAUGUGGUCUCAUACAAAUAGGUGUAUUAUUCAUAAAUGAAAAGGAUGCAAAGUCAUUGAUUAACUUUUAAGUCCCUGCACUCCUUGUAAAUUAGUAACUUAGUCUUUACAGUUUUGUUUUUAAGAAUUUAAUUUCUCAACUUUUCAUAUUUCAAAUUUUAGAUAAAUUAUUAACAUUAUUUAAAUUAUUUUGUUAAAUUCAAUUUCAUAACUUACAUUACUACUCUAAGUGAAUAUAACUUUAUUUUAAAAUUUUAAAAUUUUAUACCAACAAAUUAAAAAAUAUAUAUUAAUUUCUACUCUUUUACCCUUUUCAUCUUCUACUCCUUUCAAUAAUGGCUCAUUUAAAACUCCCUUACAAAAUACCUCCAACUCAAGGCAACCUUUUACUAUUAAUUUCUCUAAACAUGGGAAUCCAAAAGUACAAAAGCUCUUGAUGCUCAGAAUGAUUGAACUAUCUCAAGAAUAAAUGCUCCUAGUUAUGUGGAAUAAAACAAAUAGUUCAUCGACUAUGAUUAAAUGCAUAAGAUAAAAGUUUAACAGAAUUUUAAACUUUUUUUAUUUAGAAUUUAAAUUAACGUGUAAAAAUUGAUUUAAUCUUGUUGCUUUUGUUGUGCCAUCACACUGGUGCAGAUGUAUUAGUUAUAAUUAUAUAUUUGAAUUUUUUAAUUUUAUAAAAAAUAUUUUAAUUAAUUAAUUAAUUUUUUGUUUUUUAAAUUUAUAUUAUUUAUCAAAUAGAUAAAGAAGUUAGAUAUUUAAAUUAUUAGAAGCUGAAAGUUCUGAUUCUUUUAUGACCGGUUUUUUAAGUCUUGCCUUCAGAAUCUUGGGUGUCUUAUCUUUUAGCAUCCCUUAACUCAUGACACGACUUUAUGAGUGUUUUGUUUGAUAAAUUUAAGUUAUAAUUGUAGGUUAAAUUAUUUAUACAUUUCUUAACAAAUUUAUGAGUGUUUCUUCUUUCAUAUUUUUUAAAAAGAAAAGAAAAUGAAUUAAGAAUUCUUAAAAAAAAAAGUUAAAAAGAAUCAAAACUGACUUGGAAGACAAAGAAUAAAGUAUAAAGAAGUUUAAAUGUUUGAAGUUAUUUAAAGUUUUUUUUUUCCAAAUUUCCAUAAGAAUUUUUGUAUCUUUUUCAAGUUCAGAUUGGAAAAUCAUAAGGGAAAGAAUUUUUAGGUUCUAAAUAUUCUUAGAGUUGAAAUUACCACAAUAAAAGCUGUUAGGAAAGUCAUGAAACUUUAGUUUUUUCCAAUCUUUUAAAGAAUACAUGUAGCUCAGUUCAGCACUGACAAUUGAAGUUACAAAUCAAAAUGCAAUUGCUCAUGUACAACACUCUGGUAGACUAGAUUAUCGGAUGCAUUUCUGAACUUAGGCAUGAGAAUAUGACUCUCAAAGACGAUGAAAAAAUGGAACAUAUCCUUGUUAGACAUAUGCUCUUACCUGAAUUUCAAACUCAAAGUUGGAGUAACAUAACUAGGAAGUGAAAUAACAACUUUAGAUCAGUGAAUAUGGCUACUACUGAGCAGCAGCAACAUACUCUAGUAGACAGCAAUGAAAGGGACAUCUCCCGUAACUCUUUAUAAAGUAACUGCGCCAAAAUGAUAAGCGAAAUAAUCAAUUUCUGCCAUUAAACUACAUUUUAUGCUUAACCCCAUUACUAAAAGUAGGAUAUUGUUAACACUGGAACACAAAAUCAUUUCUGUGAUUCUUUGAAACACUUACCUUUCUAAAGCAAUAUCUCCAAUUUUCCUUCAAUUUGGCCUUUCUGUAGUAUGUAUCCUUGAGCUAAAACUCUUCAAUAUGAUUAGCCUGUAAAAUAGAAGGAUGUAAUAAGUUUAGGAAAAUACAGAUUUAAGGCUCUUUCCAUAACAAUGGAUUGAGUGAUUGUAACUGCAUGUAAAUUGUUGGCAUGUUUCUUAUUUGCAUCCGCUGUAAUUUCAUCAUUCAUCCCCUAAUAUUAAAAUGGAAAAAGGUAUUCCAAAGUUAUGUUUUUCCCCCUUCAAUCAAACACAUAUGUAAGAUACAGACUCACGCAGUUAGUUGACCGGUUGUGCCAUAUCUUUCUCCAGUUUCCCACACCCAUGAUUCUCUGUUCCUACAAGUAAGGUUAGUUUGCUAGAGAAAACCAAGUAGUACAACAAGAAUAGGGAAUCAGAAACAAAACAAAAACAAAAAAAAAUGAAAGAAAACAAUGAUGCAAGAAAACAAAAAUGGGAUAUCACCUUUCAAUGGAAAGAGUUGGAAAAAGAAUCUCUGAGUUGUUUCUUUCUAUCCCAAGAGAAUAAUGUCAGUGCCACUAGCGAUCAUAAGAUUGGCCUUUUUCCUCUAAAUCAUUUUCUCAACCCUUCACAAUUGACAUCUAAAACCUUAAGUUUCUUGAAAUUUAAACUUCCAUGAAUGUUCUUCCAUAUUUCAAUUGACUUGGAAAAUUCAGCCUACAAAAUCUGACAAAGAAACAAGGAUUAAAAUUCAUAAAGGUUAUAACGAAGCCAACCCAAACCAUAUGAAAGAAAGAAUGAUACUAUGGGAACAAUCUCCUCCACUCCACAAUCAGAUAUUGCAAGAAAACCAAGUUGUGGUAGGUCUUUGGCUACUGAGGCUGGAAAUACAUUCUUCAAACUUGGACAGCCCAAAACAGAUAUUGCACAGAUUUUUUUAAAUGAAAAAAUUCCUCUGGGAUCAUUUUUCCAAAUAUACUUCAACUUUGGUAAUCCAAAAAUAUGCAAUUUUCUUAGUUGAGCGGUUGCAAGUAAAGCUGUUUCUUUUUCUUCAUGCAUAUUAGAUGGAAAAAUGGUUAACAACUUAUCACAUCCUCCAACGGUCAAUUGUUGUAGUUUGGGAAAUGCAACCUGCACUCAUGCCAAUUUAAUGAAAUUAGAAGCUAGCUGUUUGCUUCAUUUAUUGUGUGGGUUUGUGGAAAAGUGAAAAAAUAUAUAUUUAUUUUGAGUGUGAUUGUUGAAAAAAAGAGAUGAAAAAAAUAGGAGAAAUGUUUAUUUUUUAUCCUAAUGUAUAAAAACAAAUCAUUCUAAAUUGAAAUAAUAAGAGAGAAAAUGAGAGAGAUGCUUGUUAGUCUAAAUAUAUACAUUUUUCAAAAAUUUCAUUUUCUUUCCUCUCAUUUUCAACUGUACCAAAAAAUCAAUAAAAAGAAAUAUAUAUAUUUUCUUUCACUCCAUCUGUUUUUUUUUUCACUAAACCUUAAAGCCAAAGCCAACAAGGAAAAAAAAAUGAAUAAACCUAAAACUUAAGAAUUAACCCACCUUAUUGUCAAAUAGAUCACCUUGACUAGAGAUUCGUUGGUUCCCUUCCCUUGUAUAUCUACAUAUGAAGCCCUCCAAGUUUGAACAGUUGUAUAUCGUCAUUGACUUCAUAAAUGGAAAUUCAAUAACUUUAUUUUGAGAAUUGAAGCAAAAUCCACGCAAAUGCUGAAGAUCCUGUAGCUCUAAGGACUCUAACUGAGGAAAUAAUGAUAAAGUCAUGGCAACCUGAGUUGCUUCUUCUAUAUCCUCCCAAAAGAUUAUCUCCUCUAAGCAGUUGCACUUAGUUACCUCAAAAUAUUUGAGAUGAACUAGAUAUUUAGCCAUAGAAAAUGAUAACAGGUAAAUUAUGUUUCCACAACCCUCGAUUUUCAAUGUGGUUAACUUCUCAUGAGUGUAAAAAGAUACAUUUGACAACUGGUUCUGCCAUACCCUUGUAAUAUUAAGCGAUGAUAACUGCAAUUUCUCCAAGGAAGGGAACAAUAUCUACAACCAUACACAUAGUUAAUUCUACUUUCAAAUCAAUAUUGUAAAUAUAUAUAUAUAUUUCUAUUUUUGCAAUUAACAAAAAAUAAAGUCUGCCGAUCAAAACAACGUGUCAUAAAAUAGAAAAUUUCUAGUAAAUAUAAAAUAUGUUGAGAGUAUUGGGGACAGAAGAACCCAUCAUAUGAUCAGAAAAAGGGAAAAAAUCUCACAUAACUAAGCGACAGCGCAAGAGCAAUACGGCAUGAUUCAGAAAAAGGAAAGAAAGCCUUGAAAGAUAUUGAAUUAUAGAUACCUUUUCUUCGAAAAGUGGCAAUUCACGUUGAGGCAAUGAGGUAGCAUCGAUUUUGUCUUGAGAGCAAAAGCUAACGAGUUGAGGAAGACCCUGCAAUGUCAAGGACUGCAAUUCAAGAAAUUCAUUUCUAUCAUUAGUGAUAGAUUCAAUAUCCAAACCAUUUUGGAUAUGCAGAUUCCGCAAAUGUGAUAGCCUUUCCUCAUCUGUUAACUCCUUCAGUGCAAUCUUCACACCUUUCAGUUCAUCCAAUUGUAAAUCUUGAGUUCUCUUUACCAACUUCUUAAUUCCAUGAUCCAAAUCAUCAAUGCUUGUGUUUAGCCUGAGUUUUAAGGUUCUUGAAUAUUGAGAGUUGCCAAACCGCUCCCAUUCCUUUCCUAUGAAAAUCUUGUAUCUUUCCAACUUCUGCAACUUUUGAAAGAAGUCCUCUGGGGCAGCCUCGGCGUCCGGAAUUUGAACUUCUAAAGUGGACAAAUGAGACAGUGUGUUCAGUUCAGCAAGACUAGCAUUGGGUUGUCCCCAUUGAAUAGAAGUGCCACCCAUAUAUAAUUCUUCUAAUUUUGACAAACUUGGCAACACGUCUGCUGAAAUUGUUUUUAGUACAACCACUUACAUCUAACAACUUUAGCUUCAACAACUGCCAAGUAUCCUUGGGUACAAUUUUGAUAUCAGAUCCAGCAAGGCUAAGCACAUUUAAGUUCUUGAGAGCUCCAAUAAUGGUUAGGUUAUCUCCCAAAUUGCAGCAAUCUAGGCACAAUGUACUGAGGCUAGUUAGGAGACCAAUUGAUGAAGGUAAAGAAGAAAAAUGCAUGCGAGUCAAAUCUAAGACUUGAAGACUUUUUGCUUCCUUGAAGAAGUUAUCCGGCAAAGUCAAGGAGAGAUCCUUGCUUAAUAAAAAGAAAAGAAAAAGCUGUGGACAAUUCAACUGGUCAGGAAGCUUGUUGAUACUAGGAUGCUGCAAAAUAAUCUUGUUGCACUCUUUCAUUGACUCUCCAUUUGGCCAAUCUGUUACAGCAUCCUCAUCCUCAUCAUUAUCCUCCUCUGUUAAAGCAAGCACUUGAUUGUCCUUUGAAGCCAUUGAUUUGGCUACAAUAUAAGUAAGAUCAUGCACAUCAAAGUACUCCUCAUUGGUACUUUUACUAUCAAGCAACAGACAAGAUUCUUUGAGAGUACUCAGCAUUUUUAACAGCCUAUCUCGUGCUGCUUUCACGGUGUUGACUCCUUUAAUUAGACCCAAACCAUGAGCAUAUCUCAACAAGUCUUCAAUCCUAGUGUCACGACGCAGUAAACUGCAAAGCAGGAAAAUCUGCUUGAGGUCUUCACUCGGUAAAUGAUUGAUACUCAGCUCAAUAGCCGAAUGUACCUCAGCAGAUAUCUCAUUGGAGCUUUUUUCCAAGUAAGGCCUCUGUAGUUGUUGUAAAGCAUCCCUCCAAACAAAUAAAGGUUUAUUUCGCAACGCCCUUGCAACUGUUGCAAGGGCGAGUGGUAAUCUUGCACAUUUCUCGGCUACCUUAAUUGCUGUAGAUCGCAGCUCCUCGUUACUUUCAAAACUGUCCCCGGCAAUCUUCCUAAAGAACUCCCAAGCUUCUUCGUUUUCUAAAUCACCAAUUGCAAAGGUCUUUGUAGCAUCCAUCCCGUUGCUUAGAACAUUUUGAUCUCUUGUGGUCAACAGUAUUUUGCAUCCUUUGUGUCGACUUCCAAAUGGAAUUCCGACUUCCUCUAGAUCCAGUUUCUUCCAAAGAUCAUCCAAAAUAAUAAGAACAUUUUUCUCCUUCCUCAAUCUUUCACACAAUCUACGGGCUCUUACAACCGGACUGUUUUCUUCAAGCUUCAAACCCAAUGAGUAUGCUAUUUGCUCUUGGAUUUCCUUAAUGUCAGGAAUUCGAGAUACAAUUGCCCUGACUACUGAAUCGAAUAACUUAACCUCAUGGAGUUGUCUCUCAACUUCUUUGACCAGAGAUGUUUUGCCCACACCAGCCAUCCCGUACACUCCAAUCAUGCCUGUUGUUGCAUCUUUCAGUGACUCCAUGAUAUCAUCGAAAACCUCCUCUCUUGAUUUAAAUGCCUCAAAGUCUGGAUGGACUAUGGGUCCAGGAACAUCAUGGUAUCCCACGCGCUCAAAUUGGCAAUCUUUGAUAAGCUCAUCAAAAGUGGCAGCAGCUUCUUCAGCUUUCCUGCUAAGCUGGUAGCGAGACUUGAUGUUAGGACACAAGCCAAAGAAGCGCUUGGUCUUCGCUUUGACUUCAAGAUCCUUCACUUUCUUCUCCUUUUCAGUGACAACCUUCUCCACUCGCUGGCGCCAAUCCAGGACAUCGGCUUUAAUCUUCUCCCCGUUCCUUUCUGCAACAUCAACAUCUUGCUGCACACUUGUUCUUUUUGCAAUCAACGUCCUGUGUUUCUGCUCGAACUUGUCAACAAUUUUCUGGUAGAAGACUACAUAUCUAAUAUGACGUUUAACUUGGUGGAAAAUACCUUUGGCAGCCUCGGAAGAGACAUUGGCAGCAGCACCAGUACCAAUUGCUUCCAUUUUAUUUAUUUUUUUGCUUUGGGGAUACAGAUGACUGUCAGAGAGAGUAAAAAAAGAGGCAAGAAAGAAAAUACUAAAAGGAAAGAAGCAAGCAAGAAGAAAUCAGAAAUGAUGUGAAGAAGCCAUUAGCAGAUAAGGAUUAGAAAUUCAGAAAGGCGUGGAAUUGGAUAUGGACUGUUGUCUUCGACUCUGUUAGACUUUAGAUUAGAAAUCAAAGAACCAGCAAAAGAAAGCAGAGAAUGGAUGUGGAUGGUUGCGGGUAUUUUCAGUGGAAAUUAAGUUGAAUGAUUUAACUUUUAAAAAUUACAUAAUUAUUUAUGAGAAUAAUAUAUUUUUAUUAGGGGUGUUCAUUAACCGACCGAUUAACCGACCCGAAAUAACAUUAACCGAAUUAACCGACCUUUUAAAAUUUUUAACAGUUAGCCGAAUCAAAAUUUUAAAAAAAAAAUUUAACCGAACCGAAAAUUUUCGGUUAAUAAAUUACUCCUAUGGUUGAUAUAUGCAACCGCACAACAUUGCAAUUAAAAAAUUUACAAGAAAGAAAGUUCAAUUUUUAUCCUCUUACUAGAUUUUUUUGGUCAAGCUAACAAAAGAGAUCAAACUUUGUAAAACAACAAUCAUCCCCUCAUCUCCUUCCCCAUUCAUCUUCAAGUUUUUCAUUGUUCUUAUACUCUCGCCCAAAUCUCUCAAUCUCAAAUACCAUACUAAAUUGAUACCCAACUUUACUAGACCCAAACUACAUCACCACUUCAUCAUCGAGCACUCACCGCUAAACCCACAUCGAAAGACAUCUUUUUUUUUUUUACAAACAUACCUAAACUCUGUUUCGUAUUUUCUUUUAAUGAGGAAAAAUCAGUUAAUGAAGCAUCACUUAGUCUUAAGCAUCUAAAAUCUCAAAGCCCUGCAUUUUGCAGCUGAAAUAGAGCCAAAGAUGUUUCUAUAAUUAAAGGCUUUUUUAUUUGAAUCCCUCAACCAACUAUUUGAUCAUGGUUCUAGUAGAAUUUAGUAGUGAUUGAUUCAAAAAAGUAAUUCAAAAGACUCGUUUAGUUGGGUGAGGUUUAAAAAAAUAUAUUUAUUCAAAAAAUUUAAGAAAAUUUGAGGGUUAAAUUUUAUUGAAUCCCUAAAAAAAGGGUAAAUUAAAGAAAUAUUUAUUUGAAUCCCUCAACCAAAUUCAUAUUUAAUCCUUUAUGUAAUUUUAUAUAUAUUUUUAGUAAAUUAUAUUUUUAUGUCAUUUUAUAAUAAAUUUUUAUUUAUUUUCAAGUUUUUAAAACUAUAAUUUUUUUUUGAAUUUGGACUAAAUUGCCAAAAUAAGCAAAUAUUGAGGGUUAAAUUUGUUGAAUUUUUAGAAUUAAGAACAAAUAGACAAAAUGUGUAAAGUGUUAAGGGUUAAUUUUGUUUUUAUAACAAUCAAAAGACGAUCAUGUCAACAUUUUGUUUAGUGACCAAGGCAUUUUAAUGGAGUGACUAAAAAUGACAAUUAAUCUAACGGGUGACUAAAUUAACAAAAAUAAAUCGGUGACCAAAAUAGGAACGCGCUAAAACUUUGAUGACAAUCUAAGUAGUCUACUCUUUAAAUUUUUUAAAAUUAUUUUUAAGAAAAAAUUUAAAAUGAUCAAAUUGAUAUUUUAAUCAUAGUUCAUGGGCUAAAUUGAAACUUUUGAAAGAUGAAUGACUGAAAUGCAAUUUGAAUCAAAGUUUAGGAACAAUUGGUAUAGUUUAUUCUAUUUUAUACACUUUUGAACCCUCACUAAAUUCUUCUUAAUAUUAUUUUAGUUCUAAUUAGUUAUGAUUAGUUAAAGAAAACUAAUGUAAAAAAUUAAAUAAAACUAAAAAAAGAUUAUUAUGAUAAUAUUUUUUUAUACUUUUAAAUUUUUUAAAUAAAAAAAUUUAUAAAUUAAAUAAUUAAAUACAUGUUGAAUAAUAUUAUAAUACAAGUUUAUUAUCAGUUUACCUAUAUCUAUAAUUAAAUAUUUUAAAAAAAAAUUAACAUAUAAUGUGUUUUUAUUGGUGGGCAAGGAUAGUAUAAAUAUCUUUUGAAGUUUCAACCUUAUUUUGUUUUCAGCUUGUUCAAUAAUUGAGAAGGUUCACCACUUGUUCAAUAAUUGAGGAGGCUGGUCGUGCACGUGACAUCAUAAUUGAUUUCCUAUUGUUUCGGUUCUACAAAAUAGUUUAUAUUUUGUUUUGCUCAAAAUGGUAAUGUGUUUCAACUCAUUUUUGGUGUAUUUAAAUUAAAUUAUAGAGUAAAAGAUUAAAUAAUAAAAUAUAUUUUCAGUCAUAUUCGGAAUUUAAUAUUUUUACUUUUAUUUUUAAAAAUUUAAAAUAAAAAAUGUAGAUCUAAUUGCUAUUAUCCUUAAAAUUCUUCUACAAAAUUAUACAAUGACAUUUAAAAAUUAAAAAAAUUCACUUGAUAACCAUAUAAUAAUAAAAAUAAUGUUAUAAAUACUGAUUGGGAUUUUUCUUAAAACUGCACAUUUGAAUUCGUUAUGGUAAAAAAAAAUUUCCCAUUUAAAUAGUAUUUUUUUUAACAAAAAUUGACAUCAAAAUUUCAAUAAACAUAGUUAACAAUUUAACUUAGAUAAUAACGUAAAAAUGUUAAAAAUUAAACUAUAUAUAUAACAACCCACAUUUGAUCCAAUCAUCAGAUCUAAAUAUACAACGUGGAAGCAAUUUGAUGUAGCUUCUCUUUAAAAGAAACAACACAAAUUUCACCUUAUACAAGCAUAAACAAUUUAUCACAUUCGGUUUUAUGCAAGGUUAAGCGAAUUUAAAAACAUAAACAAUUUAAAACUUGUUAAAGAGUUGUAUUUUUUCAAAGAAAAAUGUUAUAUUAAAAACUGUAAGUAAUCAUUGUAAAAAUUCAGUUACAGUAAUUUUUUUAGUGUAAGAUAUAAACUUUAAUAUUUUUUUAAAUGUUAGUUACUUUAUUAACCUGUUAUUAAAUUUAAGAAAAUAAAAAGAAAUAAUGAAUAACCAAAAUGUCAUAAAUUUCUAUUCAUUUGAAAUCUUUACAUUAAAAUAAGUAAACCAAAGGUAUUAGAACGAAUUAAGACAAAAUAAAGUAUAUUUUUAAUGAUUUUUGUUAAAAUAAAAUGAUAAAAAUAUCUUCAAAUAAUAUAAUUAUUUUACUUUCGAAAAAAUACUUGCGUAAUUUUUUUAAUCGAUCUGGUAUCCGGUUGACUCGUAACACCAACUUAGACAAAAAUUUAAAUAAUAGCUUAGAUUUAUCAAUAAUUUAUUAUAUUAUUCAUCAUAUAUUACUAGUUUAUAAUUAUUUAUAAAAUUUACUAUAUAUUAUGAAUAUAUCAUAAACAUAAAAUUAUUUAUCAUUCAGAGAUUUUGUAACACCCAAAAAUUUUGGUGACAUAAAUGAUAUUAUUAAGAGAAUAUAAAUACUAAAUUUUCUCAUUUUCAUAUUUUUUAAACAGAAAAAACAAUGAUUUUAAGAAUUCUUCAAAGAAAAAAAAGGUUAAAAAGAAGCAAAAGGGUUUUGGAAGGCAAACAAUAAAGUGUAAAGAAGCUUUAAAUGUUUAAGGUUAUUUAAAUAUUUCAUUAAUGGAAGCAUCACUCACAACAAUAUUUAAGGUUAUAUCUCCGUGCAUGCAUACCAUGUUGUAUUCUUCCAUCUUUGCCAAAGUAUGUAUUAAAAUAAUAUGUGAGCCAGUUGUUCUUACUCUCGAAAAAAAUAUUAACAUAAUUUAGGGAUUUCUACAGAUCAAGACACAAAUGAAUAAAUCGUUUAAUUCAAAUUUAUAAUAAUAGGUGAAGUCUAGGUGGAUUCUUUCUUGGGUAUUGUCUAUCUUAUUGGUUAUUAUUCGAUUACUUCCUUGAUUCAUUCUUUGUUACGUUCUUAGUUAAAUUAUUUUAGUAAAUUUAGAUUAAACACACCACUCCAAAUUGUCAGUUAAAUAAUAGAAAAACGGUAAUUACUAGUACUUUUAGUCCUCGUGGAUACGAUAUUCUCUACUCACCAUAGCUAUACUAUUGUUCGAUACGUGUGCUUGCCUUCGUCGUAUUUAUAGUUAGUUCAGUGGCUAUCACUAUUAUUUGUUGGUUGCUAUGGACGGAUCGUAAUUCUUAUGUUUUUUUUCUAGUAGUAACACUUGUGUUCAGGACAUUAUGGUUACAGGUAUUACUUGGGCAAUGAGUUAUUUAUCUCAAAGUUCACGGGGAAUUCAGUCGCUCACUAUGACAUUGGCGACAUGUUGGUCUCCUCUGGAUCAUGGAUGGAUUAAGAUGAAUUCGGAUGGUGCAGUGUCAAUGAACGAUGAUAACGCCUCAAUUGGAGGUCUUUUUAAGGAUGUAAAUGAUCAUUAUGUGGGUACUCCUUGAAAGGCGCAAGGAAACGUUCUUUCGUAUAGAAGCUCGAGCUAUUCUUAUAGUUUUACGUAUUGCAUGGGAGAAAGGUUACAGACAGUUGGAAUGCGGCAAUGCACUACUUGUAGAGUCCGUUUUUACUGGUAGUGCUGCUAGUAGUAACCUAGCUGAAUUAUGUUUAAUCAAUGUUUACCUUAAGAGGAAUUGGAAGACAAGAAUCUGUCACAUUCCUAGAUCUCAGAAUAUGGCUGCUAAUUGAAUGGCGAAAUGUAUUUAUGAUCAUUAGUUUAAGUUGAAGCUUUUUCAAGGUCCCCUAAUUUUGGUUUAAGAGAUUUUACAAUCAGAUGGUGAUUUCCUAAGUAGAGUUGUGUGAUUUCAUUGUUUUCGCUUAAUGUUGUUUGUUUCUACUAAAAAAAAAAGUAGAACAAAAUUAUUGUAAAGAAAUGUUCAAAUCUAACUAUAUUUAUAUUUUUAAUGGUUUUUAUUAAAAUUAUAAAAUGACUAAAACACCUUCAAAUAAUAUAAUUUAUUUUAAUUUUGAAGAAAAUUUUCAUAAUUUUUUAAUUGAUUUGGUACCCAAUUGACUCAUAACACCAACUCAAUUAGGGACUUAAAUAAUAGUAUAAAUUUAUUAAUAAUUUAUUAUAUUAUUCAUCAUAUAUUACUAUUUUAUAAUUAUUUAUAUUUUAUUUACUAUAUAUUAUGAAUAUGUAAUAUCCUGAUUUUGGGCCUAGUCGGAAUAGUGGUUUCGUGACCACAAAAUCUGAGAUAGAAAUAAUUAUUUUAUGAUUAUUUUAAGGUCUAUGAUAUGAUUUCAUAAUUGUGUGAAAAUUUCGUGAAGAAAUUUUAUGCAUAAAGUGCUUAAAUUGAAAUUAAGGACUAAAUCGAAUAAUUUGCAAAACUUGCAUUCUAGAAGUUUCUAGUAUGAAAUUGUUUUGAAAUAUUAAUGAGGAGGUCUUAAAUAGAAAUUUUACGAAUUUUAAGUUCAUGGACAAAAUUAGGACAUGGAAGGGAUUUUUGGAAAGUUUAGUAGUAAGGGCAUUUUGGUCAUUUAAGGGUAAAAUGAAUUAAAAUACAAAAUUAAAAGCCAAAUUUGCUCAUCUUCAACCCCAUGGCCGAAUAUAGCAAGGAGAAACCAUGGCUAGGGUUUUUCAACUCGAUUGUAAGUCCGUUCUAGCCUCGUUUUUAAUGAUUUUUACGUUUUUGGAGUCCCGGUAGCUCGAUUAAGCUUAUGUUAGCAAUAAUUCAACCUAGGGUUCAUAUUUGGAAAAAUACCCAUAGGUGAAAUUUGUGUAUUUUGGUGUUUUAUGAUAGAAUAUGAGGUUUUAAAUUAUGUUAGACAACUUGUGCUACUCGGUUUUAAGUGAAAACGAGCAAAAGGGCUUAAUCGGUAAAAAUACCUAAUAGUCAUAAGUACAUGUUAGAGUGAGAAUUUGACGUUGCCAUAGAAGGGAAAAAUGAUCAUCAUGUUAUAAAACAUAAGAAUAAGGAAUAAAGUUUAAUUCCCGAGCCUAGGGGCAAAAGUGUAAAUAUGCAAAAGUUUAGGGGCAAAAUUGUAAAUUUUCCAAAAUAUGAUUUUGGGUCAAUUUGAAUAAUGUGAGUCCUAAUUAGACUAUAUUUUAAAUGAUAGAGCAAGGAAAACUGAAAUUCGGGCUAAAAUGGGGAAAAUACCAAGUUGUGGACGAAAUGGUAAAAAUAGCCAUUUUCGCAUACGAGGUAAGUUCAUGUGUAAAUAAUGUAGCAUAAAUGUUAUUUUUAAGUUAUUAAUGUUAAUUAUAUGAUAUGCUGAUUUUUAUCAUGAAAUAUAUGCUUUGUGGUUAUUUUCGAAUAAAAUGCAAAUUAUGUGAAUUAUUUGUUAAAUAUAAAGUGCUACCGAGUAUUGGUUUCGGUAUUUUAUGGAAGAUGGCAUGGAGAUGUGUUCGAGGAAAAUCCCGUUUGAACCUUAGGAAUAGAUUAGGAUACAAGUGACAUGUCACUAGGAUUGUUGAGCAUCCGAACUCGUUGAGUUGAGUCCGAGUUCACUUAUGGAUGCAAAUGUCCGAACUCGUUGAGUUGAGUCCGAGUUCGAGAGAUGUAACUAGGCAUCCGGACUCGUUGAGUUGAGUCCGAGUUCACCUAUGGAUGCGAACGCCCGAGCUCGUUGAGUUGAGUCCGAGUUCGCUUAUGGGCGGGUUACAUGGUAGCUUGGCUACAUAUGUGGCACUUAUGUGCAAACUUUCCAUGUAUCCGAAUUAUAUUCCGAUGUGUUCAACGGGUAAAAUUCUACUCAAGCGGAGGAAUACUCGAGAUGAAAGGGACAUAUUGGUAAGUGUUGUAAAAUGGACACUUUAGACAGGUAUGUUCUUAACCCUCGGGUUGGAAAUAGAUACAACAACGGUAAGAUCAUAAGAUGAUGAAUGAUAUUUAGAAAAUGUGAUAUUAAUGUCUCGGUGAUGAUUAUGUAAAUGAUGUUUUAUGUUUGCUUAUAUAGUUAUGUUACUUGCUAUUUGCAUGUGAACUUACUAAGCAUUUAUGCUUACUCCCUCCUUUUCAUUCCUUGUAGUUUUGACAAGCCAGCUCGGAAAUCGGGAACGGUCGGAGGCUCGCUCACACUAUCCGUAUACCAUCUUGGCAUAAUGGCUUGUAUAUUUUGAGUAUGGCAUGUAUAGCAUUAUAAUCAUUUUGUGUAUAUGGUCUUAUGAUAUGGUUAUUGAGUGGUAUGGAAAUGCUUGAUAAUGAUUAGCCAUUGGAAUGGCUAAUCAUGAUCAUAUUUGGUGUUAUGUAUGCUAAAUUGCUAGCUAAUCCAUGGAAACCAUGAAAUAGGUAAAAUUUACCAUAAAAUGGAUUCAAACAGCAGUAGUGACGUGAAUUUGAAAAAUCACUAAAAAUAGUAUAAAUGGAAUUAAAUAAUGAAUAAGUUAUGGAAUUGAAGCUUGAUGAGUCUAUUUUCAUAUGAAAGAAGCGAAACAGGUAUAUGAGCUAUAUUUUAUGAGAUGUUUAAAUUUUUGUGAAACAGGGCCAGAGCGAUUUCUGGAUCCCCUGUUCUGACUUUAGAAAUUCACCAUAAAUUUUACAAAGAUAAUUAGAAGUCAUGAUUUAUAUGUACAGAUUCCUUAUUGAGUCUAGUUUUAUUAGAGACAAACGGCAUAGUCAUUGAAGCUCUGUAGAGGGAGAUAUCUGAUUCGUAAUACACAGAGGUCAGAGUAGUCGAACCCUGAAACAGGGGAGACUUUAACUAAUAAACUGUACUAAUUGGCCUGACCAAAAAUUCUAGAAAAAAAUUAGUAGAUGGAUAUAUGAGUCUAGUUUCAGAAAAAAUUUACGGAAUUGGAUUUCGAGUUUCGUAACUCGAAAUAUGAUUUUUAAAGCGACUGUGAUGCAGUUAGCCAGCUUGUCUGGAAAUUUUAAAAUGAAUUGUAUGAGCUGUUUAAUUAAUGAAUUAAGUCCGUUAACACCUCGUGUUCGACUCCGGCAACGGUAUCGGGUACGGGGUGUUACAGAAUAUAUUAUAAAGAUGAGAUUAUUUAUCAGAAGUUUUGUAACAACCAAAAAUCUUGGUGGCAUAAAUGAUAUUAUUAUGAGAAUAUAAAUAGUAAAAUUUUCAAAAAGAGGGUAAGAAUUAUUAAUUGAAUAAUGUAAGUAGAAUUGGACACCAAAAUGAAAAAGUAUAAAUAGAAAUUUUUGAGAAAGGAUUUAAUUGAAAUUUUACAAAAGUGUGAGGAAUAAAAUGUGAAUAGCUUAUAAAAUAAAAAUGGUAGAAAAUUAAUGAAGUAUUUUAUGUAAAAAUGAAAUUGAAAAUAUAUUGAUAUUUAGAAUUUAAAAAAUUAGGAUAUUAAUUAAAUUGUAAUUAAAAAAAUUAGGAGGGACUUAAGUGAAAAGAUGAGUUAACUGUAAUUAAACCAUGAAGAAAUAAUACCUCCAAAAGUAAUUAUUACAUUAGGAUACAAAUAAGAGAUGGAAAAGGGUGAAAUGACUAGAAAUAUAUUUUAAAAGGUAUUAAAAUAAUUAAUGAUUUAAUAACUAAAUAAAAUAAAUGAUGAAAUGCCGAGAAAUGACAAAUAUAUCAUGAUCUUUCAUCCCGAGGUGGACUUAGGGUUACCCCUAAAAUGGAAAUUCUGUUAUUAAUAAAGAUAAAAUUAAACUUGAACCCUCUUAAAACUAUCAAAAUUUUAUUUAAUCUUUAAAAAUUAUAAAGAUAUAAAUAAUUUAAUUUUGACCCUAAACUUUUUUUUCCUGACUUGCCCCUGCUUCCAUCAUUGGUUUCGGAUAAAGAUACCCCAUGUGUUUUUCAACUUUUUUUUUUUAUACUAACAGCGGACUCGAAAAUUGAAUGAGAACACCGUAUGGUGGGAAUUUUAGUGAAAAAGUUGUUAUGACCUGAGAAUUUUAGAAGAUAAUCUUUAUGCCCAAGUCUUGAGGAAAAUAUAUAUAUCUUUUUUGAGGAUUUCGAAUUUCAUAUUAAAGGAAAUAAAUGUUAAUCUUGAUCAAUGGGUUUAUAAUUGUCCAUUUGCAGAUCAAGUUACUGCUAUAUAGGUUGAAGGAAAUAACUCGAAUGUUUUAUUUGAAAGAGACAUAACCAUUCAUUAUCAUUCUAGAAGGUAAGAUAGGGUUAAAUAGCAUUUUUGUUGUUACAAUGUUGUGCAAUAUCCUAUACUCUUCCCAAAUGGAUAAGUUGGGUGGCAUCAAACUGUUAAGAAAGUUAGACUUGAUGGUAAUGAAGAAAUUUUUGAAUGUGAAGAUGAUUUUAUAAUUUUUUAAAUUAUUUUAAUUUUGUUAGUUUUAUUUAAUAAUUGUUUUUACAAUUUCUCUAUUCUACAUUUGUAAGUAAUUGAAUUUGUGAGUAGAAACUAAAUGGUGGAAUACAAAUAGAAAAAAAAAGCCCUAAUGAAAUACAACAUUUUUGAAUUCACCAUAACUUAACUCACAAAUACAUUUUCAUAUUUACGAGUAUUCUUAUUUUCAUAUUUUUUUUAAACAGAAAAAACAAUGAUUUUAAGAAUUCUUCAAAGAAAAAAACAGGUUAAAAAGAAGCAAAAGGGUUUUGGAAGGCAAACAAUAAAGUGUAAAGAAGCUUUAAAUGUUUAAGGUUAUUUAAAUAUUCACAUGGAAAUAUUUCAUUAAUGCAUGGAAGCAUCACUCACAACAAUAUUUUUAAGAUUUAAGAGCUCCAAAACUUCAAGCUUAAAAUACACCCUUCUGGAAGUUGUCCAUGCCAUAUCUCUUUCAUGUUGUCAUUGCUUUCCAAUCUCAGUUCUUCUAAACACGGGAAUGUGCCCUGGUCAGUUGACAAAUGUGUUAAACAAAAGCAAGGAUCGAUUAAUUUCGAUAAAGGAAAUGGAAUUGUCGCAAUGAGUUUAUUGCAUAUCCAGACACUCUUGAACUCUCAAUGUCGCAUAAUACUAAUACAAAUCUCAUGCUCGGUCUUCCGUUUUAGAUGGUAAACAUGCAUACUAUUUGAAAUCAGAUUAGGAUAGCAAGGAUGAAAUUAGAUAAAGGGUAUAGAAUUGUGCCAACACUUUAUUGCUUAAUACUAAUACUAUUUUCAUCCUUGGCCCUUCGUUUUAGUUAGUAAACAUGCAUGCUAUUAGAAUUCAGAUCAGGAUAGCUAUCGAGAGAAUGCUUAUGGAUUAGAUGUGGAUGGAUUUAUGCAGAAAGUAAAACAUGCACAUCUAGUUUUACUAAUUACUAUGUUAGAAUAAGAAAUAGAAAAUUAAUGCAUCUUGUGGACAUGUUUCAUAUACCAUAUUGAUCCAAAAUAAGGGUUGCUGUCCUCCUGUUUCACGGGAGCUUAAUAUUCUGUAGCAAAUAUCUCCACUUUGUCACAUCCAUAAAGAUCCAAAAUUUUCAAUAAUGGCCAUUCGGUGGUAUGCAGCCCAGAGUAGAAACUCUUCAGUUUUGGUAGCAUAGAAAGGUUCAGGUAUGUCAUUUGAGGAAAUAAAAACUGGUUCUUAUUUCUGCCUCGGUGAAUUUGUGUUCAAAUAAUUCUUCUAAUGAAGCACACUCCAUUAUUUGCAGAUUUUUUAGUCUCUGAAGUCUUUCCAGCAUAUUAAGUGGGAAAAUGUUUGAUAGUUUCACACAACUAUGCACUUCAAGGUGUUUUAAUUUGGAGGAGGAGUUCAUCUCAAGUUGGUCAUCCCAUAUCCUUUCCAUAUUCCCCAUGUCUACAAUUGUCAAAUCCUUUAACAAAGGUAAUGACACCUACAAAAAUCAUUUGAUUGUGUUAAUAACAGAACAUGGUUAAGUAUGUGAGAAAAGAGACAGAACAAUGGAGAGAGGGCCUUUCGACUUUAUUUGAUGAAUUCUGUCUUAAAAUAUUUUAAGCCCCAGAAAAUAUCACUGAACAAUGGGUGCAAAGAGAUACAUGGAUGCAAUUGCCAAGCAUUUUUCAUUUUGAAAAUUGCACUUACAGAAAAAUCGUUUUAAAGAAAGUGAAAAAUUCACAAUGCAGAUCAGCCUGACCUUAUUAAUGAAAAAGGGUUUAGCAGAGACAUUGGACGCAUCCUUUAUAAGAAUAUUCGAGUAUUCUCCACCGAUGAUCUCAUUGUGCAGCUUGUUUGAAACAGUGGAUGCAAAUGCAACCAUCUUUGGCCAGCCAACUAACGGAAUUUCCUUCAAGUUUGGACAUUCCAAUAAAAUAUAUACGUCACACACACACACACAGUAAGGGUUGUUAUAGUUUAGCCUAAAUUAAAAAUGAUCUAAUUUGGUUAAUUAAGGGUUAUUGGGUUUUAAUUAUUAAAUAAAGUAUGAGUCAAAUAUGUAUAAAUAUUCUAGUAAUUGAGUUCUAAUUAAUUUCUAAUUAAUAAUGGGUAAUUAGGAAUUAUGACUAAUAUGCCAAAGCUAUAUAUAUUAGGGUUAUGACCCCUAAAUUACAGACAAUUUAUUUUUUCUAAUAUCUCAUUCUUAGGAAAGAGAGAGCAAAUAUUCUCUGAAUUUUUUGUGUGCUAAUUUGGAAGAUUAAAUCUUCAAAAUUCAUAGAUUUGAAGGAAUUCAUGGAUUCAGGUAUGCUUCCCCAUCUAAUUUUAUUAUUAAUUUGUUCUUAAUGAUUUGACGUGAUAGAUCCUGGCUUAUAAUUUAUUAAUUUUUUUUUAGAUUUAUUUUAAAAAUCGAACAAGUGGUAUCAAAGUCUCGUCAUGUUGAAUCAUUGAGAAUGAAUUGAUUUUUUAUUAUUUUUGGAUUGAUUCGUUUUUUUUAAUUUUAUGGAUUUGAUAUUUUAAUUAUAUACUAUGUUGAAACUUUGAGUUUCUUGAUAAAAAUUUUAGGUUUUAAUUCUUUAAGUAAAGUUUUAGGGUUUUAUAAAUAUAAUCUAGUUUAAUAUUUGCAUAUGCUAUUCGAAAUAUGAAUGUUUAUUUAUUUAUAUAUAUAUAUAAUCAAUUGAUAAAAAUUGAUUUGUGAGAUUUCUUUAUCUUCUUUUUGCACAAUUAUUUUAUAAAUUUUGGUUAAAGUCAUUAUUAGAUUAAAGUUACAUACUUAUAGCUUUUUGCAAUUGAAGAAUUCCAAUUGGGAUGUAUAAUUAGUUUUGAAAGUUAAUUUAUUUGAUAAUCGAAUAAAUGAAUGUUGUUAAGAUUUUUUUUGCACUAUUUAUUUUAAAUUUGUGGUUGAAUGUAUAUGGAAUUAUCAUCUUUUGUCUUUAUUCAUGAUGAAUUAUAUUCACUAUUGAAUUCAAUUCAUAUAUACGAACUAUUACUUUUGGUUUCUACUAUAAUUAUUUUAUAUAAGUUUUAGUCCUUAUAGAACUAGACUAAAAUUAAAAUAUUUGAGAUUUUUUUUUUAAUAUGGUGGCUAUGAAUUUUCAUAAGUAGUUGCGCAUAUGAAGGCUUUUAUACAAUUUGAGAUUCUUUUUAUAUUUGGUAGUUAUGGAUUUUUUUUAAGUAUUUGUGCAUAUAAAAAAGUUUUAUGAUAAUGUCUUUAGUCAUGAAUAUAAAUUUGAGUUUACAUGAAAUAUGUAAAACAAGCCAGUAUUAUUUUUCUAUUAUUAUAAUUGUGUGUAUAUAUAUUAUAUGCAUAUCAAUGAUUUUGAGGAUUAAUGCAUGAUUAUAGUUUAUGUGAAUAGGUGUUUAUAACCAUUAUUCAAUAAGAUAUUUUUUAUAGUUUAAUUGGUGAAAUUAAGUUUUGAUGGAUAUCGUUAAAGUUGUUAAUUUUUUUUAUUAUGGUUAUAUAUUCAAUUUUAUGGGUGCUUUGGUGCAAAUUCAUGUCAACUAUAAACAUGCUUAAAUAAUUUGGUUUUAAGUUUAGUUCUAUAAUAUUAUUAGGUUUUGGGUUCCAAAUAUUUGGUUAAAUUAUAAUGUUAUGGUUUAUUGCAUGAAUUAUGGGAUAUGCCAACUAUUAUGAUUUUGUUUUUAAGAUUUAUUGGCUUGAAAAUAUUUUCAAGUAUUCAUGCGAAUCUAUAUUUAAUCAUAAAUACAACUUUAGAAUUACAUGGUAUAUUUCUAUUUGAUUAUGAAUACAUAUAUAUAUGCGUGAAUUGUUUUGGUGUUUUUGUCUAUGCCAAAAUUAUGAAUACAUGUGCUUGUUAAUUAUUUGGCUUUAAACCACUACAUUAUUUCUGUUUGGUUUUGAUAUAUAUGGUUUUGGAACAAAAAAAAAAACACAAUCAAAUAUUAAGGUUUUUAGGUUUUUUAUUACAUUAUUAAGACGACCUUAUUUUGGGUUAUUUCAGAGUCUAUAAAGCAAUAAAUAAAAUAUUUUUGACCUUUAACUAUUGGGCAAAUUUUAAAUUUGAAUAUUAGUAUGUUUAUAUAUUUUUUAAAAUAACUUAAUUAAAGCAAUAAGUCACCAAAGUAAUUUUUUUUUAUAAUUUAUUUUUUAAAACUAUAAAAGGUUGUGUGCAUGUAACUUAUGUUAAUAUUGAUCGGCCUAAAUGAAGGUUAAUAAUAUUACAUGUGCCACUAUGGUAAUAAAGAUGUGACAAUUAUUCGGUUUUACAUGUGAGCAAUAAAUUGGCCCAAAGGAAGAUUUAUGGUUCGGCAUGUUCUUAUUGUCAAUGUUUGAUUAUUACACCAAUAUAUCACUUACAAAUUAAUAUUUUGUCCAAAGAUGAAAUAUUAAUAGAGUGUACGAUAUCUUGAUAUGAGGUUUAAAUUUAAAGUAUUAUGUAAGCUUAUUUUAAUUUAUUCAACUAUAAUUAUAUUUGCCAGUAUGUUGUUUUGGGAUAAAUAUAUAUCCAUAUAUAUACUAUUAUCUUUUAAUUUGAUUGAAAGAUGAAAUUAAGAGAAAUAUUUUGAAACAAAUAAAUUCAGAUUUUGACUUUAGGUUUUAAUUAAGGAUGUUUAAUAUUUUAAGUAGAUUAGUUGAAACAAAAUGCUGCCAAAGUGACCUCUUUUGUGUAGAUUAGUUUAUUUAAAAUAUCAAGAUGAUUAUAUGUUUUUGUGAUUCAUGCGUUUAUUAAUUGAACCAAAGGUAAGUUAACAUUUGGCGAAAUUUCAACAACAUCUGUGGUGAUAAAUGUGUGACAAUUAUAAGGUAAUUUAUGUGAACAAUAAGUUAGUCCAAAGAUUAAUUCAUUGUUUGACAAAAUUUAUUGUCAAUGUUUAAUUGUUGCAACAAGAGUACCGUUUACUGUUAAUAUUAUUGUCCAAAGACUUUAUAUUAAUGUUGUGUUUGGUAUCUUGAGAUGGGGUUAGUCAUUAUUUUGAAUUUAUUGUUUACUUAUGAAUAUUGAUGUGAGCUUAUUUUUAUUUAUUUAUUAUUCUAUAUUCAACUAAUUAAUCUUCUACUGCCACAAUAUCUGCUAAUAUAAAUUCUAUACUCAUACUUAAUGUGACUAAUUUCAAUGAAUGGAAAAGACACUUACCUAUAGUGCUUGACUAUAUGAACAUAGAACAUUGCACUAAGGGAAGAACAACCCCCACCUCUCACUACGGGAAACACCCCUUAUGUUAAAAGGAAUUUUGAGAGGUGGAUCGUUCAAAUUGCAUGAGUCUAAUGAUCAUGAAGCACAACAUUUCAGAAGCCUUUAGGGGCAUAGAAUCUGAAAAGAUUACUCAGGCAAAAGUUUCCUUGACAAAAUUGAAAAACGUUUUGCUAAAAACGAUAAGGUUGAAAUGACAUCACUUCUGACUUUUUUGAUGUCUACAAAGUAUAAGGGUCAAGGAAAUUCUGAGCGAUUUAAAGGCUAUGAGUUUUAUGAUCCCACAAUUAGGAAUAUUUUUUAGAUGAGAAUUGUAACAUUAUUUUAGGAUGUUGAGUUUGGAGGGAGAAAUAAGGUUAGAGAUAUUGCUUUUAAGGAGGAAUUGAAUUCUAACUCAAUUUCUACUAUCACUUUUGACGAUGUUUAGGUUCUCAUACCUAUCAUUGAUUAAGAAGUGAAUCCAGAACCUCAGUAAGACAAUGUUGAACAAAUCUCUAUUCAAGAUGAGUUAAUUGUUCUAGAAUAACAAACUCAACAACCUCAAUAAUGAAUGUCAUUAAAAAGGUUCACUAGAGAAAGUGUUAUACUGGCUUUAGUGGAACAUUUUGACCUUAAGCUACAUUAGAUGAAUAUUAAGUUAAUGGUUUCUCAAUGGUAACAUUGAUCAUACAUUUAUAUGGUGCAAUUAGAAAACUUUGUGUUUGAUGAUGCAAAGGUAAUGAUUUGCAAAUUAAAUAACUUCAUAUAUGGGAUUAAGUAGACUUCUCGUUUAUAAUAUUACAAAUUUUACUAAAUGAUUAUCUCAUUCAGUUUAGAGAUGAAUUUUGUUGAUAAUCGUAUAUACCAUAAGUUUAGUAGGAGUAAGCUUCAAUAUUUGGUUUUAUAUGUUAAUGACAUACUGCUUGUCAAUAAUAAGUAUAGCCUUAAUCAAUGCCCUAAGAAUGAUUUUGACAUUACAAAAAUGCAUAAGAUUUUUUACAUUUUAGUAGUGGAAAGUCUAAUGUAUACAUUGGAAUAUUGUUUACACUGUUGGGAUGUUAGACAGAUUUUUAAGCAAACCUAGUUUGGACAAUUAGAUAGCAUCAAAGAGGGUUAUGAGGUAUUUUCAGAGAACAAAAGAUUACAUGUUCACAUAUCAAAUGUCUAAUCAGUUAGAGAUCAUCAGGUAUACAGACACCAAUUUUGAUGGAAUAUGGAUAUAAUAUCUUGUCACUAAGGUGCAAAUUGUGAAAACAAAUUGCAAUCUUUUAUUCCAAUAGCAACAGGAGUACAUCAAAGUCAAAACAAAUAGACUUUAAGUUCCUGGUUAUUAAAGUAAAGUUCAGAGUGGUUAGGUGCCUAUAAAGCAUAUUAGAACAAUCUCCAUGAUUGUGGAUCCGCUUACUAAUGGGCUAUACCUAAGGUUUUAUAAGAGCACACUGCUUAUAUGGGCGUAAUUUCAUUUAAGGAUAUUUGGUUUUAGUGGGAGUUUGUACUUUUAAAUACUUUUAUUUUAUAGACACAUUUUCAGUUAUUUCAAUUUAUGGAUAUUAAGUUUAUUUUCUGUAGAAAUAAAGUUUAUUUGCUUUAUUCACACUCUGAUUUUGGUAAGGUUUGAUCUCACUAAGGUUUAAGAAUGACCAAUUGAAAAUAGACAUGUUUAGAUCAUAUUGCAUAUAAUUUUUCAUGCUACACAUCCAUACUUGAUCAAUGUCAUUUGGUUGUGUUAAUAUACAUGAUCAAGAUGGAUUUAGUUACAAUAUAUGUAACGAAAGUCGCAUUGGUUUUAUGUUAACAUAAUUAAUGGACGAGAUUGUUUAGAAUACAUUUUGGAUAUGAUAGUAAAAUUUUUUAGCUCAUAAGGUCAUAUAAUAACAUGUAAUUAUAGAAUAAUUAGUAUAUAUAUGUGGUCCAAGUGGGAGAUUGUUGGAAACUAUGGACAUCACAUAUAUAUAAUAAGGGUAAUUAUAUGUUAUUAUUUACUAUCAUAAUAGGUUAACCCAAAUUAAAGGUGAUCUAAUUUGGUUAAGGGUUAUCGGGAUUUAAUUAUUAAAUAAAGUAUGACUCAAACAUGUGUAGAUACUCUAGUAAUUGAGUUCUAAUUAAUUUUGAAUUAAUGAUAGACUAAUUAGGAAUAAGGACUAAUAUGCCAAAGUUAUAUAUAUUAGGGUUGUGGUCUCCAAAUUACAAACAAGAUAUCUUUUUUAAUAUCCCAUCCUUAAGAAAGAGAGAGAAAAUAUUCUCUUAUUCUUGUGUGCUAAUUUGGAAGAUCAAAUCCCUAAAAUCCAUAGAUUUCAAGAAAAUUCAUGGAUUCAGGUACGCUUCCGUAUCUAGUUUUAUUGUUGAUUUAUUCGUAAUGAUUUGACAUGAUACAUCCUAGCUUGCAAUUUAUUAAGUUUUAUUUUAGAUUUAUUUUACAAAUUUAACAUUCAAUGCAAAACUUCCUGAGGAAAACCAUGCCAAGUCCAAACAAGACUUGAUAGUUAUUGUUUUAAGCUGAGGGAAUAUAAUCUUCAUUUUAGUCGAUUUGUCAUCUCUGAUGAUUUCUUCAAUUACUUUGCAAUUUUUUACUUUUAUCUGUUGCAGCUGCACAAGAUCUGCAGCCAUGGAAGCUGUUAACAUGUAUCUCAAGUUGUUAUAGUCAUACACUUUGUUUGUGUAAAGAACAAAUGAAAGACAAAAAACAGCUUGUGGCUUCUGCAACAAGGCUCGAUACUUGCGGAAGAAACAACCGAAUUUGAGAGACAAAAGAAAGAACAAAAACAAGAUAAAAUAGAGAGUAUGUGGAAGAAAACAAACUGAUUUCAUUCAACUUUGAAAAAUGGCAUAAUGCCAAGACAUAAACCAAGCACUAAGCUUGUCAAAAAAAAAAACAGUAAGUGAUCACCUAAUCAACACCUACUACCACUAAUACAUUGAAACUUGCAAAACAAAGCUUGUACACAUAGACAAAUCUGAGUUAACAGCUCAUUCACUAUCAAAUUACAUCAAUCCUUAACCUAACAUAGUUCAAAAUGAACUAGAUUACAUUACAUCAUUCUAAGCUUACAAAAUGAACAGCUGCAUUAGCUUCAGCAGCUCCUGCAUGGCCCGAUCUUUAUGGUCUGCUUCUUGAUUGCUUUGUUACAUGCUGACCAAACUUCAACACCCCUCCUUGGUUAGCAUGUUACAAACUCCUAGUCUUUUACUCAAAUGCUCGAAUCUUGUUACACAAAGAGGCUUGGUGAAAAUGUCAGCAAGUUGAUCCUCUGAAUUGCAAUAGACUAGUUUCACUUCCUGAGCUUGCUCCAUUUCUUUAACAACAUGGAGUUUAAUACUGAAAUGUUUUUUUCUUCCAUGGAACACUGGAUUUUUUACAAAUGCAACAGCAGAUUGAUAGUCACAAGAGAUCUUUAUUGCUUCCCUGUGAUGCACAUUCAAGUCAACCAUAAUUUUUCUUAGCCAAAUGGCUUGGUUGACAGCGCUUACACUUACAACAUAUUCGGCUUCAGCAGUGGAUUGAGCAACUAGUGUUUGCCUCUUCGAGCUCCAACUAAACAUCGCUGAACCAAGAUUGAAAGCAUACCCAGAGGUGUUUUUCAUGUCAUCCAUCGAACCAUCCCAGUCACUGUCAGUUUAGCCAACCAACUUCAGGCUUUUAGCUUUGCUGUACAUCAAUCCAUGGCUUAAUGUACCCUUGACAUACCUGAGCACUCUUUUUCCAGCUUGAAGGUGCUUCUCAUUGCUACAAUGAAAUAACCUUGAGAGCAAACUUAUAGCAAACAUAAUAUCAAUUCUAGUGGCUGUUAAAUACAGCAAACAACCAACUAAACUUCUGUAGGUUGUUUCACAAACCCUUUCAAAAUUACCAUGGCUCGAUAACUUUUCUCCAACAACAACUGGAGUAUUUUUGCUUUGCUAUUUUGCAUUGAGAACUUGAUCAAAAUCUUGGAAGCAAAAGCUCUCUGAAUUAGGAAUAUCCCAUGGUGUGUUUGUGUCACUUCCAUGCCAAAGAAAUAGCUCAUCCUUAUCAGACAUCUCAAACAUCUGCUGCAUUUUGGUUUUGAAAUCAGUCAGCAUUGUUUGGUCUCCUCCUGUCACUAGCAGGUCAUGAACAUACAAGGAUACAAUGAGCUAAGUUUGUGCCCCUUCCUUCUUGACAUACAAGGUUGGCUCGCUCUUGCUUCUUUCAAAUCCCAAACUGACCAGGUAGCCAUCGAUCCUGCUAUACCAGGCUUUUGGAGCUUGUUUCAGGCCAUACAAGGUUUUAUUUAGUUUGUAGACCAUAUGUUAUUUACCAGCUACUUCAAAACCCCGUGGUUGUUUAACAUAAAUUUCUUCCUCAAGAAAUCCAAUGAGGAAGGCUGACUUCACAUCAAUUUGGUGGAUUUUCCACUGCAUUUGUGCUAUUAAGGCAAUCAACAGUCUGAUGGUGUCUAGCCUGACCACUAGUGCAAAGGUCUCAUCAGUAUUGUGCUUGGCUCGAUAGACCCAUUUCACCCCAAUGAUCUUCUUUUUGACUGGGCUUUCAACCAGUUUCCAAGUCUGAUUCUUCUCAAUCAUGUUGAUUUCAUCAGCUUGCUUCCACACUUGUUGAGCUUCAGCCUCUUUUAAACAGCUUGGUUCAGCUAUGGCUACUUGAGCUCUUUCAUAAAUCUCAGCCAAUGGUCUAGUACCCCUAACUGGUUCAUCACCAAUGUCCAUUUUAGGACUAUUUUGAUCUAGCUCAGUUUGGUCUGUUACAAGAUCUUCAGAAACUUCCUGUGGCUCAUUCUUUUCCCAAUUCCAGCAUGACUUCUCAUCAAACACCACAUCUCUGCUUACAGACACUUUGCUUGUUGAAGGAUCCAAGAUCACAUAACCCUUUUUGACUGUGUUGUAGCCUACCAAAAUACCAGGUCGAGCUCUUUUAACCAGUUUAUCCCUUUUAAUAGCAGGCACAUGUGCACAGCAGAUACAACAAAAGACCUUUAGGUGAGCCAAUGAUGGUUUGAAUCCAAAUCAGGCCUCAAAAGGAGUUUUGUGAUCCAAGGCCUUGGUAGGAAGCCUAUUUUGGAUAUACACAGCAGUGUUAACUGUCUCAGCCCACAAGGUUUUAGGCAAAUUCUUCUCAAACAGUAGGCAUCUAGCCAUAUCCAUCAAGCUCCUGUUCUUCCUUUCACUUACACCAUUUUGUUGAGGAGUAUAGGUGUUGGUAAGCUGGUGUUUGAUGCCUGCCUUAUCAAAAAAUGCCUGGAACUGAGCUGAGGUGUACUCAGUCCCAUUGUCAGACCUUAUGGUCUUGAGCUUGCAAUCUGUUUCAGUUUCAGCAGCAAUCUUGAACUUUGAAAACACUAAGCCUAACUCUAAUUUCUGUUUCAAGAAAUAAAUCCAGUAAAAUCUUGAAAAAUCAUCAAUAAACAGAAUGAAGUACCUGCUUCCAUUUAGUGACUUGGUCUUCAUAGGGCCACACGCAUCAGUUGCACGAGCUGCAGCCUUUCAGAGGCUCUCCAUACCUGAUUUGAAGGAAAUGGGAGCCUAGCUUGCUUUCCUAGCUGGCAUACUUCACAAACCUUCUAUUUUUCAAAUGAACCAAUGAAGUUUUCAGCCAAGUCUUCUCUGGAUAGCUGAUCUAUUGAUCUGUAGUUGGCAUAACCAAGUCUUUGAUGCCAAAGCUUGGAUUUAUCAAUUGUGGCUGUAUAGGCAGUGUCUGAGCCAUUUGUCCAAUCAACAACAAAGCUCUUAUCAACCAUAGUGACUGCCAUGAACUUGGAUCCACUUGGAUUACUGAUUUGGCACUCCUUGCCCUUGAACACUACAAAAUACCCUUUCUCUAGCAGCUGAGCUAUGCUAAGCAGGUUUCUAUCAAUUUCAGGUACCAACAACGUAUUCGAGAUGAGCUUGUUACCUAUAGGAGUGCAUAUCAACACAUCUCCUUUACCUUCUGCCUUUAUAAAAUGACCAUUACCAAUCUUAACUUUGGUUUUGUAGCUUCUGUCUAAUAACUUAAAAUUGGAAGCAUCUGGUGUCGUGUGGUUUGUGCAACCACUGUCCAAAAGCCAGCCAUUUGCAAGCUUCUCCUGAGCAGCUGAGCAUGGCACAACAAAAACUUGCUCCUCACAGUCGCUAUCUUCUUUUACUACUCAAGCCUCAGCCUUUGGCUACUGAGGUUGGUUCUGCCUUGACUUGCCCUUGCUUUUGCAGACCUUUUCAACAUGCCCCAUCUUUUUGCAAUAUUGGCAUUGCACAUCUAGUGUAAACCAGCAAUUUGCUUCUGAAUGACCAGGUCUUUUGCAAUGCCUGCAGGGUUGGUCCCUUCUUCUUGCAGCAUCAAACUUUGGUUUGUCUUUCCAAGUCUUUUUGCUUUAUAGGCAGUAUUAUUCAAGUUAGGUUUGGUUUUUACUUGAAAGGCACCUUCUUGGUGCUCCUCCAAUCUGCUAGCUCUUCUCUGCUCUUGUGCAUAGAGAGCAUUGAUCAACUAUAUCAGUGAGAUGCUGGUCAGGUCCCUUGAAUCUUCAAGGGACGAAAUUUUUGCCUCGUACCUCUCAGGUAAAGUUGAAACCACCUUCUCCACUAUCCUUGCUUAUUGAAUUGCUCACCAAGGAGCCUUAUGUUGUUUACCACAGUCAUAAUCCUGUCUGAGUACUGUUUGAUAGUUUCUUUUCCUUUAUUUUCAAAUUCUCGAAGUCCCUUAUCAGAUUCAACAACUGUUGCUGCCUUUUCCUCUUUGUCCCUUGAAACUCUUGUUUUAAUUUGUCCCAGGCCUAUUUUGGUGUCUCACAAGCCAUGAUCCUUGUAAAGAUGACACCUGACACUGAGUUCUGGAUGAAAAACAUGGCCUUGUGCCUCUUAGUCCUUUCAUCAACAUGCUGCUUGAUCUGAGCCAUUAUUGGAUUGGCUCUAAAUAGCUCUAGUUCAACGUCUGAGUUAACCACCUCCCACAGAUCGAAUGCCCGAAGAUAGGUUUUUAUUUUGAGUUUUUAAAACUAUGCCUCUAGAACUGAAUGAAGAUAAGAUAUAUAUGCAAUGUAAUAUUAGUACCUUUCCAUCAAAAAAGUAGUCAAGAUCGUGUAUUCACCGGUUCCAGUUGAUAAAUGGAACGGCUCUUCUCUUUGGAGCAGAAACUACGAAGCUCUGGUAAAAGCUGUAGUGUUAAGGAUCGCAAUUGGCCAAACUCAAUUUUAUUGGAUUCUAUAUCAGCAUUCUGCUCUCUCUCUCCAGUAACAAUCUCUUUAAUGCUUUUGCACUUUGAAACUUUAAUUUCUUGAAGCUGGACAAGGAUUUUUGUUAUGGAGAAGGAAAACGAUUCUUGAGUCAAUUACAGCAUUCGACACUUGUGAUUUUCAAUCUCUUGGAACAUUCUUCUUCAAGUUUUCCUUGACAAAUCUUCUCCAAAUGAACCAAUGAUUCGAGGAUAGAAAAGGCUUUACAUGAUGCCACCUCCAUAGAGUCAAAAAUAAACUGUAAUUCUGAACCAUUUUGUAUGUAGAGAUUCUUGAGCUGUGGAAAACCAGUGCCAUCCAACUCAUACAGCAAGUUCUUGAUGCCUUGCAUUUCAUCUAGAUAUAGAUCUUCAAUUUUCUGCAACAACAGUUUAACUCCAUGAUCCAAGUGAAUUCCCUUAGUAAGCUAGAGUUUCAGUGUCUCUCAUUUUCAUACUUUUUGGACCAGUCCCAGACCUCCCCGAUAAGAAUCUUGUAUCGAUUCAAUUUUUCAGAGAAUAGUUCUGCUGGCAUAAGUUGAAUAGAAUGAAUAUGGACAUCCAAAGAAAUUAGACCAGACAAAGACUUCAAUUCAUGAUGUGUCUUCAUGUUACUAACUAAAUAUACGACUAAUGCAAGUGCACUUAUCUAUAAUAGUAUAGUUAACGUGAGUUGAGAUAUCGUAUCCACGAGGACUAAAAAUAUUAAUCCUGGAGCUAUUAAGCACAUUAAACAUGAAUUAGUUCAUAAUAUUGAAUUAAGCACAUUAAACAUGAAUUAAUAACUGGAAAUAUUAAAAUAAGAAAUAAAUAUACAUAAAUCAAGUAUUUAUCGAGUAAAAUAGAAAUUACAUAAUAUAAUGUAUCAUAGGUUUCAUCUUCCCUAGGUAUCUAAAGAAUUAGUAAUGAAAACAUCUUAAAGUCAUAAAAACCACAAUAAAUAAAGAAACUCAUAAAAAUUUCAAAAGAAAUUAAAAGGAGGUCUUCGAUCUUGAUGGAAAUUUGAUUCCGAGUUGGCUUCAAUGGUGUUCUUCAAGUUGUUUCUUCUAUCUUCUCUGAUGGCUCCUAUAUCUCUUAUUCUAUUUGGUAAUUAUAGACUUUAGAAUGCUCAAAAAGCCUAAAAAUUGUGUUUUUCUGCGUGUUUGGGAAGCAGGUUGCGAAAUCGACAAGGGCUGGCACAUGGGCGUGUGUCCAGCCUGUGUGGCUCCUGAAAUUUUCUCUUUUUCUCUGACUUUCACUCAUUUUGCUCCCAAAUGCUCACCUAAGUAUAAGAACAUGAAUUAAAAGGAUUAUAAGCAUCAAAUUCACCAAUUUUUAUAAAUAAUCAUCCAAAAACGCAUUAAGAAUGAGAUUAAAAUAUGUUAGUUUUAUCAUUUAUCAAUAUCCCCACACUUAAGCGUUUGCUUGUCCUCAACCAAAAUCCUUAACUCACAUUAAAAUUAAUCUUUCUCAACUUAUAAUUCCCAUCAAUAAUGUUAUGAUUCGCAAAUAAUCAUGUAUUGACAAUUCAACUAAAAGGGCACUUAAAGAUUCAAACAAUCCAAGUCGAAAUUUUUAAAGCAUGAAAACAUAGGUAUUUCCCCUUAUCUAUGUAAUUACCUUUAAUUCAAAAUCGACAAGAAUUGACAUCCCCACUAAAGAUCCACUCAAAUCAUUCAAAAUGUUUAAGGUUCAAGAAUAAGCACUCAAUAGUCAAAUAAGAAAUGUCAUUACCAUAAGCUUGCUUGAAAAUCAAAUCUCCACCACUAUAAAUUGAUAGGACACACUAAUCAAAAGUUUUUUAAGAGGUUCUAAUGGGGCUUAGGUUACGGGUGCGGAGAAAGGCCAGAAAAGUUUGUUAUAAUCGAGAUCAAGUUGAUAAAUUAUCAAACUAGAAAAAAAUAAAUGUUGAAUUAAAAACAAAUGCAUCAAUCAAGAAUAUUCAAAAACAAAAACGAGAUUCUUCUCAAAAAAAUGAAUUUAACUGUUCAAACUCAAUCAACAAAUAACUAGUUAAUAAUUAAUAUUUUUUUCAACUUUUUUUUUCUUUUUCUUUCAAGAACAAUAAGAAAUAAGUCAACAAAUCAAACAGAAGAGCAUAGCUAGGCAACUAACCAAAUCAAAUCUCAACAAAAAAAGAAGUUAAUAAAACAGGAAAAAGUCACAGCAAACGAAAAAAUGGGUUAUAGGUUAAUAUUAACGGGUCAUUCAAGAAAAGGUGUGUUAGGCUCAACGGGGUUCACUAAUGAGUUAAUUAAAAAGGUAGACUUUUUUAUGGGAUAAGUGGGUUAAAACCUAAGUGCUUUUAUUAUCUCAGUAUAUCAAAUCAAAGAUGUGGUCUUGACAUGCAUAAUUGAAGCAAGUUCUAGAAUAACAAAUCAAGUUGACACGCUCAUAACCAAUAAUAUAUUGUACAUGUAAAAUGUAUGCUCUGAAGGCUCAAAAUCUCACAAAAAAUCAUGGUUUUGAUGUCAAACUUGCAAAUUUAAAACUUCAAGAUAAUACCUCAAUUCAGGGAAACAACCUAAAAUUUUUAAUUCUAAAAAAUAACUUAUUAUGAUUGAUUCUUUCAUGUCUUAAAUUUAAAUCAACUAAUGCACAAAUAUCUACAAAUUAAUCCAAAAAAAAUCAACAAAAAUCACAAAUCGACAAAAUUUCAUUCUAAUUCAAGUAUGAGAAAUUUACUUAAAUACAAUAAAUAAUUUAGGGAUUUUUAAUAAUUAUCUAAAUAACCUCCCCACAUUUAAGAUGUACAUUGUCCUCAAUGUACAAACAAAUAUAAGCAUAGUAUAAACAGAAUAUCAUAAGAGAGGAAGAAAACUGAAACUGCCCUAAAUAUUGGAUGAAAUCGUCAAAAUGGUGAAAAUCAAAAUUAUAGGCAAAUCUAAAUGUAGUGCAUGAUUCUGAAAAACUAAUAAGAAAAUAAACACAAAUAAUGAAAAAUAUUAAGAGGUUACAAACUCGAUUAGAAACAACCAUAAAAAUAAAAAUAAAAAAAUAGUUCAAAAGAUAAUAAACGAAAUAAGUCUAAGAAAAUAAAAAUAAAACAACUAAAAGCUCAAAAUUUGAUGUGGUCGUUGAAAGCACCAAAAAUAUCCUAUCCCUAAUAAAUAAUGAAAAAGAAUAAUAAAAGGGAAGUAGGGUCAAAUCCUCAGGGACUGGACUUGCAAAAUAUCUUGUUUCGUGAAAUCCCAAGCAGAGUCUUGCCCAAGACAACUUGCGUUCCUGAAAAAAAAACAAUAGCAGAAUUAAAUUAUUGGAUCUAGAAACGAAAAAUAAAUUAAAAACAGAAUUAAGAAUAUUGAAUUAAAAAAUUCGAGAAAUUAAAAAUAGAGUUAAGAGAAAGAAAAUUCUUAUGGGAGAUUCCAGCCUCUAGUUGUCUCGUUCCGCCUUGGGUUCAAUCCUCGGCUUUUAGAUGAUCCUUCCCAAAUCGAAUAAGCCAGUUAUAGUGGAAGAGGAUGCCUACGACCACCAGCUCCAAGGAUUUAGACUUACAAUUUAGUGGAACCUGACUCUAGCCAACAAUCGCUUCUGUGGGAUCGUCUUAUGCUAGAUCAACGCUUCUCAAUGGCGAAUCCCAUGCCAUUUUGUCUCUUGGGCUCGCCAACCUCUGACGCAGUAAGCUAACGAACCGACUGUGCAACCUUCCCAAAACAUACAAAGUGGCCGUCUUUGCAUACGUUGAAAAACUUACUUCUUAAGGGGCUUGGACGGAAGCGUCAGCCCCGUAGUAUGGAGAAACAAUGAAUACUCAGCGAGGAGGCUAAGUACGGAUUCUAAGCCUUAUGAACCCUUUUGGGGAUUUUUGACAACUUUCGGCUAGAUGGGUUUAGUGGCUCAUGGUUGUGGUAGAAAAUAAAAUAAAUAAAAUAAAAAUAAAGAUUUUAUUAAAAGGAAAUAUGAAAAGAACAAAAGCCUAAACUUUUGGGGAGAGAGUGUUUACAGAAAAAGAAAAGAUGAUAUCCUUUUGAGUCACUUCACCCCCUAUUUAUAGUGCUAGGGAGAUAGUCUAAUCCUACUUAAAUUCCUAAAAGAUAAAUACAUUUAAUUGAAGAUAAAUAAAGAUAAAAUAAAAUCCUAAAAAUAAUCCUUAAAAUUAUCUCAAUAUUAAUUAUCCUAAUAUAAUUAAAAUAGAGUUUAAUUGAGUAAAAUCUCUUCUUUUUGCAUUUCAACCCUUGUGUCCUCCAUGCUUGCACUUUUGGCACCAACUUUUCCUCGUGUCGCACAUUGGCCCAUUUUAUCUCUAAAGUCACGCUUUUGGCCCUUAAUUUUGCUUUUGCCUUAAAUUUAGUCCCUAUGAGAUAAAAGAUCAUAAAUAGCUCAAAUUAGCAGGAUCAUACUCAGAAUAAAUACAUAAUUAAUACAUAAAAAUACGCUAUUCUAGAGUGUUAUCAAAAGCAAAAAUAAAAAAAUAAAAAAAAUUAAUGGUCUUCGUUGUCAGAGCCAUCGUGAUCAUGAGGCACCAAAUCUAAAGAAGAUAUAUGGAGGUGCUGACAGAUUUACUACAAGGUCGCAUCAAUACUGUUGAACCAUUCAUAGAAGUGUCACUCAAAACGAGUGAAACGCUCGAGGAGAUCCGCUAAGGUGGUAGCGAAAGUAGUAGGAUGGUGACUCUAAGAUGGAGGAUAAGGUGGAUCCUCAUGGUGGAAGGGGACAUCAUCGGUGAAUUUUUCAUGCUCAUCUUGAGGGUCAAAAUGAGAUAACUGGUAUUGAGGAGGAUCAACUCCACAAAGUCACUCGAUCAUCCUCAUGUGACUCAUACUCGAUAAUCCCUGCGAGGCCAUUUUCCCAAUAAGGGUAAAGGAGGAGGACUACUUCAAAGUGUCGUGUGAGUCGAGUCACAUAAAGGCCUAAGUAGAUAGAGCCCUUCCUACUGCGCUCUGUUUGAUGGCACACAACUAGGGCGAUAAAAUAAGUAAGAUCAAAGGUGCGCCUCGUGGCCAUGUUUCAUAGAAAAUAAGCAUUGGUUGUACCGACAACACCAGUGCUCUUCCUCCGACCGGUCAAAGUGUGAGCUAAAAUGACAUGAAUAUAGUGUAAGGCUGGAGGUAAGGAAGCCACCUUCGAUCGACUCGUAUCAUAACACGUUGUACUCGUAGUGAGGUCUGCCCAACAUAGAAAAUGCGAGUAGUGGAUAUGCCAGUGUAAACUGAGAAAGCUCUCGUGACUCAUGAACUCGUCUGUGAAAAGUCCUAAUGCAGCUCCGAACACUGGGACUCUCAUAUGAUGCAUUGUGCCACCGAGUCUGAAGGUGAUAGUUCCCGGCUCAUCGUGUGUCGACAUCACUUGCUGAAAUAGGAAUGUUGAGCAAAAAUCGAGAGUAAGCUUUGAGUAGAUGGGCUCAAUGAUGGAGAAAAAUUGGUCCCAAGGAGCUAUGGCAAUGGUGACGUGCACUCUAUCAGCUAACUGGACCUACUCUAAAGUGGCCCAACCAAUGCAACGACCUAAUCCCAGUGGCCUCUGUCAAAGAUGCUGAUAAAGGUCCUCUUGAGAACCUUGUGCAAAGCGGAGGUAUGGAUGGUGGGAACCGGUGAAAGCGUCCGACGAUGAUGUCGCACCUAGAUUUUUCUGCUUUUUCAAAGCAGGGAUGGCGAAUUUAGAUUUGCCACUUGUGUUGGUCAUUAUGUCCUUAAAAUAAAGGGUAAAAGUAAAAUAUCAGAUAACCAAAAAAAUCAGCAUAAACAAUAUAUCAAAGCAAAAACCUAUUCUAGGCCAAUAAAUAGCACGAUAGAGACCGAAUUGAAGUGAAAACCUAGACCACAAUACUGAACAACUAACCUAAAAAAAUUCACCAACAAUCAAGCAUGAUAAAAAUAAAAAUAAUAUAAUAAUAAAGAUAAAGUGAAAUAAAAACAAUCAAGGCCUAUUAAUAAAAUAACUAAAAAUAGUGAAACAUAAACAAAAUAAACAAAACCAAUAACAAAAAAUGAAAAAUAAUAUAUAUAUAUAAGAAGAAGAAGAAGAAGAAGAAGAAGAUAAAUAAAAAUUAAUGUAUAAAAUCGAAAAAAUAAAAAUAAGAAUGCAAAUAAUAAUCAUAAAAAAAACUAAAGAUAAAAUAAUAAGAAUAUAAAUAAAGAUCAAUAAUAAGCUAAACAUAAUAAUAAAAAUGAUAAUAAAUAAAGAAGUAAAUAAAUAAUAAGGUAAAAGAAUGGACCAAUCAGACUAAGGUUAUACGACAGCGGCAGUAAUGGGCGGCGAUCCACGACGGUAGGCUGAUGAGGGGAUGGUAGGGAAGGAGGGGAAAGGCGGGGUGGUUUUUGGUUUAAAUGAGGGGAAAGGGAAACAAAAAAAAUGGAGGGGUUAGUUGAAGGAAAAGGACUGUCGGUGGUGGGGGUGGAACCGAAGAGAGGAGCAAAUGGCGGGGUGGUUUUGUGGAGGGAAGAAAAGGGAAAGGGGAAGAAGAGAGAAAUGAUGAGGGCGGAUGGGGGUGAGGGAGAGAAGGGGUUUAGUUAGGGGAAGGCUGUGAUAGGAAUGAGGGAAGGGAAGGAAAAAGGGAAGGAUGAGGGAGACAACGACGUGAGAGGGAGCGAACGGGCGUGACGAACGGUGAGGAAAUGGUCAGACUGGUGGGUAGAGAGUCGAACGACGGUUAUGGAGGGUUGUGAGAAGAAGAAAAAGUACAAAGAAAUUAAGGUUGUUUGGGGGGUAAUAAAGGAGACAUAGUCGUGUUUAGACUCGUGUUGGGCAACACGCCCGUGUGGUACUCUUUUAGACUAUGUGUAAUUCAAAAAACUUAAGCCUAGUCUUCACACGGCCUCAGACACGCCCGUGUGUGAUUUCCUUUGCUUCUCCCACGCCUAUGUGAGAGGCCGUAUGGGUCACACGAUCUCAUACACGCCCGUAUGUCCCUACCGUAUCUCGCACAGGAUCAUGUCUCUUGCUCGUGUCACCCGUUGACUUGAAAUUAAAAUUAAAAAAUUAGUUCCAAUACUCACACGCCCAUGUGCCUAAGCCGUUUGUGCCACACGGACGUGUUUUCAAGCCAUGUGGACCACCUCAGGUCAUGUUACAAUUGACUUUUGGAAAAAUUAAGUCUCGGGAUUCACACGGCUAAGGACACCCCUGUUUGUCCAGGCUGUGUGACUCACAUGGCCAUGUUUUUACACUAUGUAACUCUAUCAUUUGCUCCCUUAUGCAUACAUUUUUAAACACACAUUUUUAAAUUUAACUUUAAAUUAGCAUGCAAUAAAAUUAAAAGAAUUAACUGAGGUUAAACACUCGGGUUGCCUCUCGAGAAGCGUUUAUUUAGAGUCUAAGCUUGACUUUACCUUAUGCACGAAUACGAUGGUUCAUAGAGCCGAAGCUCUUAUUUUUCGUUAUCAAUUAUUCUACCAAGAUAAGGUUUGAGUCAAGUACUAUUUACCUUAAAUGUGUCUAACUCAAAAUGAGUUACUUCGACUGUACCAUAUGGGAAGACGUUCAAUACCGUAAAUGGGUUUGAUCCAUUUGCAUCAAGUUCUGAAGAGGCAAUUCAUGGAUCCGUUUUGUCUAGCAGUACUUUAUCCCCAACCUUAAAUUAGUUUGUUCAUUCAUAUGCUCCUCAUGAUGUCGCUUUGGCUCUUCAUCGUGUUUUCUCGAUUUCUUCUUGACAUGUGUUCGCCAUUCAUAUAGUUCAUUGAGUUGCACCAUUCAUUGUUAAUGAGUUGUUCUAUUUUUGUCACCUUUACUGAAACAUGGCUCCAUUACAUUUUCACGAGAGAUUUCCUACAAUGAAGGUUGAGCCACAUGGUUACUCACAUUAACAGAACGUUUCAUACUAUCUCGUUCACUAGAGAUUUUAGCAGAAUCACGUGCUUGGAGAGUAAUCGUUUUGUCACAUACCCGAAGUACUAAUUCACCCAUACCAACAUCAAUAAUAGUCCUGCCAAUGGCUAAAAAGAGGCGACCUAAAAUUAAAGGUAGCUCACUACCCUCAUCCAUGUCCAACAUAACAAAGUCAACGAGGAAUAUGAAUUUAUCUAUUUUAACAAGCACAUCCUCAAUAACACCCCAAUUGUUCUAUCUGCUAAUUGAAUACUCAUCCUAAUGUGUUUAGGUUUCCCAAGACCUAGUUGUUUAAAAAUUUUGUAGGGCAUGACAUUAAUAAUGGCCCCUAAAUCAGCUAAGGCAUUAUUAUUUAAACUACCAGUGAGACAAGGAAUAGUAAAACUCUCUGGAUCUUUGAAUUUGUUGGGUAGUUUAUUUUGUAAUAUGGCCAAGCAAACUGCAUUGAGCUCUAGCAUCGACGAGUCAUCUAACUUCCUUUUGUUUGCCAAAAGCUACUUUAAAAAUAUGACGUAAUUUGGCAUCUGCGAAAGAACUUCAACAAACAGUAAGUUAAUAUGUAAUUUCUUUAAGAGCUUGAGGAAUUUACCGUAUUGUUCAUUCGUGAGGUCUCUCUUUGACGCCUUAGGAUAUGGCACUCAAGGUUUAUAUUCCUUGACAAUCAGCUUUUUCUCUUUCCUAUCUUCCACAGCAUUAUCGUUAUACACCACAAUUUCUUGCCUUAGUUCUUGUUCAGAUUCAACUAACCCUUCUUUUUCUCGAAUAGUAAUUGCAUGAAUCUGCUCCUUUGUGUUAGUUUCAGUAUUGCUAGGCAAGCUACCUUGUGGUUGUUCUAAGAUUAGUUUAGCAAGCUGACUUAUUUGGUUGUUGGAAGCCUGGAGGGGGUUAUGCUCUUUGAAUUCCUUGACCACCCUAAGUGAAAUUGGGAUAUUUCCUCCAACCUGCAUUAUAUUUGUUACUAUAAGGGUUAUUUUGAGGUCUAAAAUUAUUACUCAUAUAAUUGAUUUGCUCGUUCUCUAUGCUAGGACCGAAGGGUAAACAUUCUGGAUUAUUUGUUCCACCUCCAUUUGUAUUGCAUUGCAUCACUAGAUGUACAUGUGUAGAAAGAUAUAAACAAUUAAUUUUCUUAUUUAAUACUUCUAUCUGGUUCGAUAACAUGGUGACUGCAUCUAAAUUAAAAACACCGGCUGCAUUCAGCGGCUUUGUCCUCAUGACUUGCCACUGAUAAUUAUUCAGUGGCAUCUCCUCUAUAAACUCAUAAGCCGCUUCGGGUGUUUUAUUGUUCAAAGUUCCACCGAGUACUACAUCAAUCAACUACCCCAUUAAGGGGUUCAAACCAUUGUAGAAGGUUUGAACUUUUAACCAUAAAGGUAAGCCAUGGUGAGAGCACCGUCUCAAUAGAUCCUUGUAUCUCUCCCAUGCAUCAUAUAUUGUCUCUAAGUCGAUCUGAACAAAGGAAGAUAUGUUAUUCCUCAACUUAGUUGUCUUAGCCGAUGGGAAGUAUUUUAGUAGAAAUUUCUCAGUCAUUUGAGCCCAUGUAGUAAUGGAACCUCGUGGUAAAGAGUUCAACCACUAUUUUGAUUUGUUCCUUAACGAGAAUAGGAACAACCGUAAAUGAAUGGCGUCAUCAGUGGAACCAUUAAUCUUGAAAGUGUCGCAGAUUUCCAAAAAAUUAGCCAAAUGAGUAUUUUGAUCUUUUUCUUUCAAACCAUUGAACUGAAUAUACUGUUGUACCAUCUAAAUUGUAUUCAGCUUCAGUUCAAAAUUAUUUGCAGCAAUGGUGGGUCAAACAAUACUUGAUUCAACACCAGUCAGAGUGGGCUUGCCAUAAUCGUACAUAGUACGAGAAAUAGGCGUGGAACGACGAAAAUGUGCAAGUGUACACAACACAACAAGUAAUAAAGUGACAAGUAAAUGUUAAGCUAUCGUACCCACAGGGACUGUAAAAAAAUUAUUUAUGAAAGUAAGUUUAAACAAUUUGGUGAAAGAAAAAUAUUUGGAUUUGGGAAAUGAUUAAAAACUAGAAACAAAGUAAAUAAAAUAAAAUAAAAUAAAGUUCUAAUGCACGAUUUCAAAAGCUGAUUUUAAUCAAGAUGAUAUAAUUGUGUUAGAUUAAUUACAUUUCAUUACCUUAGAAUCAUUAAACUUAUGCUUAUACUUAUUACUAAUAAAUCAUGGCAACUCGGUAAUUCACUAACUUAUGAACAUAUUUACAAAUAAAAAAUCCAUUCAUCUCUUGUACAUAUUCCUAUGUCAAUUCGACCGAUAAAAUAGAUUUAUAAAGAUAAACAUGUUAUUGCACAUACAUACUUAUUAAAUUAAACAAUCUCUCGCAUAUUCCUAUGUUGAUUCAAAUGAUUAAUUCAACCAAAUAAGCAUAUAAAAGACUAUGUGAGGUAACAAAGUAUCCUUACCUUGAAACAGUUUAAUCACAAUAAUCUUGCAAGUUAUGCAAGGCAUAAGUAUCGCGAAAUACAAUGCUAAUCUAAUCUUCAGCUACCUUAGAAGAAUUAAACAUGCACUGAUUAAGUACUGUGUCCAUUAAUUACAAUUUCAAUGUAUUUAAAUAAUAAAAUCUUUAGUUAUCUUACAAUUGUAAUGCAAAAAUAACUUAAUCAUGGUUUUACUUAGUCAAACAUUUUACCGAGGCCUAUAACAGUAUAAACAUAAAUUUAACAAAUCAAGAGGACAGAACGCAAUCAACCCAACACGAAUUAAAUUCAAGCUAAGCUGAUUAAACUAAUCAUUCUAAUAGCAUAAAUAUUCAUAGAUUUGUUCAUCAUAAAACCAACAAAAAUUAAAGAGAUAAUGAACAGGAAUCAAAUCUGGUGGUUUUCCGUGGCUUGACUAGGUUGCUCCGUUCUUCCUUCUUUGUUGUCCUCGCCAGUCAAGGCUGCUAUGAACACUCAAUUGCUACUCCAAAAUGGAUGAAGAAGACCCCUUUCCCAAGAGGAGAAAUCGGCACAAGAGCAAGGAACUUUGAAUGGGAAAAUGAGAGAUAAAAGUGAGAGAGGAGAGAAGAGUUGUGAGAGAAGAGAUGUGAAUAAGGGAUGAUUUGAAUGGGAAGCAAAAAUAGAAAAUUUUAGUAGCGAAAGAGCCCCCUCAUGGCCGGCCAUUCUACAUGGAAAAGUUGAGACUUUCAACUUUGCUAAAAUUAGCCUGGGGCAAAUCCUUAAAGCCUUAAUUUAAUGUGAGGUUUAAAUGCAAUUUGGAAGUCUUCCAAGGGCCUUUUUGUAGCUCAUUUAAUCAACUAAAAAUGCUAAUUUGGGUCAGCAUUUGAAUGAUUUUGGGCUGCCCAAUUGGUGGCUGGUUCGGUUUGCUCAAUUUGGUUCAACUAGUACGGUUCAACUAGGCCCUAUUUUCCAUAAUUAAUUAAAAUUAAUUUAUUUAGCCCAAAUUAAAUUGGGAAUAAAUUAAAAUUAAUUAUAUUAUGAAUUAAUACACAUAUUUGGACUGUCUUAGGUUUGAUAUUAUUUUUCCUUGUUACUUCGAAUUGCUUCUCGAUUUUGUUCUUCUAACGGUGUCUACCGGGUCAAUUUUCACCUUUUGUACGAAUCAGUCAAAAAUAAUCAAAAUUCACUAAAAAUAAUUGUAAAAUUGACUAAAAAUUAACAUGUUAAAGUUUUUAAUACAAUUUAAUUAUUUUAUAAAAAUUAAUUAUUUUAUGACAAAAAUUUUAUCGAAAAUGCAUGAUUUUAAGUAAAAUUAGGUAUGAAAAAGUAUAUAAAUCUUUGUGUUUCCAAGGAGCAGGAGCUGCAGCAACUACAUGAGGUAGGUGAAUAUUCUGAUUAUCACCUAUCUCCUCAGUAAUAAUAAUAUCCUCUUAUUCGCCUACUAAAUUCUGUCAACUCUGCCUUAUUUUUCUACGAUUUUUGUGAGCUAUACUUUCAAUUUCGUUGUCGAAAAGCAAAGGUCCCAACAGGUUUCUUCUAGUCAUAAACCAAGAGAACCUGCCAAAAGUAAAUGAAAUAAAAAAAGUAGAAUGUAAAAAUUAAACUAAAACAUGAAUAUCAAAUAAAAUAAAAUAAUGGCUAAUUAAUAAAAUUAAAUUGUUCCUAAUAUUUUAGUCCCCGGCAAUGGUGCCAAAAACUUGAUGUGUCUUCAUGUUACUAACUAAAUAUACGACUAGGGCAAGUGCACCUAUCGAUAAUAGUAUAGAUACGAUGAGGUGAGAUAUCGUAUCCACGAGGACUAAAAGUAUUAGUAAUUAACAUUUUCUUAUUACUUAGCCGACAAAUUGGAGUGAUGUGUUUAAAACUAAAUUUACAAAACUAAUUUAACUAAUAACUCAACAAAGAAUGAAUAAGGAAAAUAAUCGAAUGAUAACUAAUGAGAGAGACAAUACCCAUGAAAGAAUUCACCUAGACUUCACCUAUUAUUAUGAAUCUGAAUUAAACGAUUUAUUCACUUAGUGUCUUGAUCUGUAGAAAUCCCUAAAUUAUGCUAAUAUCUCUUCGAAAGUAAGAGCAAUUGACUCUAGGUUGAUUAAUUGAAAUCUCUUUCUAAUUAAAACCCCUAUAAUCGAAUUAACUCAAUUUAUGAAUUCCAUUAUUAGAUUUGACUCUAAUCCAGUAGAUUUAUGUCAUCUUAUUUUAGGAUUGCAUGCAACUCCACUCAAUUAUGCUAGAUCUACUCUUAAACAAAGACUUUUCCUCCACUGAAUUAUUCAUAUUAAACAUGAAUUAAUAUCCAAAAAAUAUUAAAACAAGAAAUAAACACACAUUAUUGAGAACAAGAAUCAAGUAUUUAUCACGUAAAACAGAUAUUAAAUAAUAGAAUUCAUCAUAAGUUUUAUCUUCCCUAGGUAUCUAGGGAAUUAGUUCAUAAUCCUGAAUAAAAAUAUAUCAAAGUCAGAAAAACUAGAAGAAAGAAAGAAACUCAUAAAAACAUCAAAAGAAAUUAAAAUGGCGUCUUCGAUCUUAACAAAAAUCUACUCUGAGUUGGCUCCAAUUGUGUUCUUCGAGUUGUUUCUUCGAUCUUCUCUGAUGGCUCCCAUAUCUCUUAUUCAAUUUGGUAUUUACAGAAUUUAGAAUGCUCAAAAGCCUAAAAAAUGUGUUUUUCAGCGUGUUUGGGAAGCAUGUUGCAAAAUCAACAUGGGCUGGCACUUGGGCGUGUGUCCAGCCCUUGUGGCUCCUGAAAUUUUCUCUUUCUCUCGACUUUCGCUCAUUUUGCUCCCAAAUGCUCACCUAAGUAUAAGGACAUGAAUUAAAAUGAUUUGAAGCAUCAAAUUCACUAGUUUUCGUAAAUAAUCAUCCAAAAACGCAUUAAGAUUAAGAUUAAAACAUGUUAGUUUUAUCAUUUAUCAAUUUACUAAAGCUGGCAUUGCCUUCAACACCCCAUUGAUUAAAGUUGUUAUGCAUAACUAAUUCUUCUAAAUAAGGCAGGCCUGAUGUGAUUUUCCUGGAAUGACUUUAAGCUUAGAACAAUUACUCAAGUCUAAGGACUUAAACCUUGUUAGUCUCCCUAUUUCCUAAGGGAUCUUUGAAUAUCAGAACUGAAAAUUUUAAGUGUAUACAAUUGCUUCAGGUUCCUAACAAUUAUGAUGUCAUUCAACUUACAUUCAUUGAAAUGUAACCUUUGAAGGUUUCUUAAAGAAGUAAAUGAUGAAGGUAGGGAAGCAAAAUCCAUACCAGUGAAAUCUAAUAUCAAGAGUUCAUUCAUCUGCUCAAAGAAAUUGUCUGGGACUUCUAACGAUGGAUUUUUGUUUAACAAAACCAGCAACUUUAGCCUAAGGCAUUCAAGAUUGUCUGAUAGCUUGUUAAUGCUAGUGUAUGGCAACAAAAUGGCAGUGCAAUUAUUGAGUUUUCUUUUCUUUAUCAGCUCUUCAAUAUGGAUUUCAUCCUCUAUAACAAACAUCUACUUUUCUUCAGAUGCAAUCCAAAUGGCAACAUCACGAACAAUGUCAUGCAUUUUCACCAUUUCAUUGUUGUCACUGCUGAGUAAUAAACCUGCAUCUUUGAGCUUAUUCAAACAUUAUUUGGCUUCUUCCAUUGUGCUAACAUUACUUGCUAUUCUUAAACCCAAGUUGUAUCUUAGCAAAUCAAAUACAUGAAUGUCAAAACCCUGGGGCAGCAAGGCACAGAGUUGGAAAAAUGACUACAAUUGAGGUUUCUUUAACAUGCUGUAACUUUUCUCUAAAGUGAAGUAAACACUUUUGAACGCUUCUUCAUUUUUUGUAAUUGGCUUUGGUUCUUUUUUCCAAAGCCUCCACCAAGUUAAAGUUUUGUGUUCUCAAUGCAAUUGCAAUUGCUAAAAUAGCAACUGGAAAACCUGCACAGUUUUUCACAACUUUAGUCAGUAGUUGUCAGUAACCAAGCUUGUUUGCUGCAUUGCCCAUAACUUUCUGAAUCCACUCUAUUGCUUCUUCAUUAGUUAACAUUUGGACAUUGAACAUUUCUUCAGUUUUCAUGUCAAUGAGUAACUGUGGAUUUGUGGAAGUUAGUAAUAUUUUGAAUCUAACAGCAGAGGAUUUUUGAAAACCAUUUUCACUAAUAUUUUGUAGUAAUGGUCGUCCUAGAUCUUCUUCAUUUGCAAUAUUCUAGUCACCUUCAAUAGCAAUCCCAACUUGUUCCAGUUCUAGUCUUUGACCAUCCUAAAUGUCAUCUAAAAUUAAAAGAACUCUCUUAUCUUGUUUCUUUAACCAUUUCUCUAGUCCUAUUUCUCUUGCAAACACAAUAUCCUUAUCAAGUUUCAGACCUAGUGCAUCUGUAAUUUCUCCCUAAAUUCUUUUUACGUUUGGAUUCCAUAAAACAGUUACCAUCAAAACCUCAUCAAGCAUGGUUUCUUCAUUGGCUCUCCUAGCAGCUUCUUUCACUGGCAUGGUCUUGCCUACACCGGGCAUCCCAUUUACUCCAAUGAUCUUCAAAUCAGGAUCCUUUAAAGCUUCCACAAUAUCUUCCCUGAUAGUCGAGUAGUUGAUAAGGUGAUUACCACACUUCUUGAGAGAUAUGAAUCAAGGAUAUCCUCAUUGGAAGAUUCAAAGGAUCUAUCAACCAUCUCACUCUUUGAACUAAUCAAUGCUAUGUAUGCUUAAGAAAAAAGAAGGGCAAAUAAAGAAUAAAGGUACGUUGAUGAAGUCUUUCAAGCCAAAAAUAGAAAAGGUUCGAGCUCCUUAAAAAAUGAAGAAAAGAAGGACUGGACAAAGAAGAAAGAGGAUAAUUGGAGAAAUGGUGGCAAGGAGAAAAAUCCAUUAUGUUCUCAAUACAAAAAGACCAAUCACCUAAAGAGGUAUUGUUGGUUCAGGCCAGUUAAUCAAUGUAGAAGCUGCAAACAAUUUGGUCAUAUGGAGAGAGUGUGCAAGAAUAAUAAGCACGCACAACAACAAAAUGCUCAGGCACAGACAAAAGAAUCAAAUCAAUAAGAACUGGUGUUCACUGCCUCCUGCGAAGCCAAACUCGCUACCCCUUGAGAAGUCCUAUUUGCGACACCGUGUGAACCCUCCAACAAAGUAAGAAAAAACUGGUUGGUUGACUGUGGUUGUAUAAACCACAUGACUUCGGAUGAAAGCAUUUUCAAACAGAUUGAUAGAAGUUGCAUUUCAAAAGUUAGAGUUGGAAAUGGUCAGUACAUCGAAGCUGUAGGAAAAGAAGAUAUGCUAAUCAGCACUUCUAUAGGUACUAAAGUAAUUAAAAAUGUGCUUUUAAUUCUUGAGAUAGAUCAUAAUCUCCUUAGCAUUGGUCAAUUGAUUGAGAAGAAAUAUAUUGUAACACCCCUAACCCGUACCCGUCGUCAGAUUAGGGUUAUGAGGCAUUACCUAACACAACACAGUCUAACACAGUCAUUUAUCACAAUUCAUAUCUACUAAUCAUAUCUCAUAUACAAACCAUACUUCUUUUCUGUGCAAACCAAUUUCACAAACCAAUUCACACACUGAAAUUUAACUGAGUCAUAAUCAUUCUACUACUCACAUUUCGAACCAAUUAACAUACAUCGAUUCAUAUUACAUUAUAGCAAAACACAUCUACCAACUAAAUCAUACAUAUAUACUUUGAAACAUACUUCCCAAAAGAGCUUAUAACAUGACCAAAUAUACAUAAUAAUUAGUAUAUCUAACAAGCCAUUUCGCAUGCCAACUUAUAUACAAUUCAAAAUUAGCCAUAGUCUAUACAUGCCAUAUGUCACAAUAUCAAGCUUUCAAAAUACCGAAAUGGCGAUUGAUAGUGUGAAGAUAAUCCUUGAUGAUCCCCGAGCUCGAGCUAGCUUUAUGUAUCUAUAAAGCAAUGGAAGGAUGCACAAAGUAAGCUUUGGAAGCUUAGUAAGCCAUAAGCAAAUAAAUCAUCUCAAUGAUAUUUAGAAUUCAAUUCAACUAGGUCUAAUUCAAAUGAAUCUCAAACACAUAUACAUUUAACUAACCCAUAUAAAUUCAUAUUAUCACAUUAAGUACUAAACUUACCUUAAUAUUUCAUGAACAUAUAACUUCACACAUACCUGAACCAUUUAGCACAUAUUUACAUUCGGAAUUGUUAAGAACACACGAAAUUCAUAUAAAGCUCAUACAAUGCCAUAUCCCGGAUAUGGUUUUACAUGUUAACGCAUAUCGAUGCCACUAUCCCAGAUAGGGUCUUAUAUGAAUCAUAUACGAUGCUAAUGUCCCAAACAUGGUCUUACACGUUUUCUCACUUUGAUGCCAAUGUCCCAGACAUGGUCUUACACGAAAUCACACCUCAGAAGUCCUAAUAUCAUGACAUCAAUAUCCAAUACAUUUCCUAAGGUUCAUUCAGAGCUUUCGAAUUCGUAAUUAAAUCAAUUUAUGCACGAAAUCAAUCAUCCAAUGCUCAAAUAAAUUCAUCAAUAUAUAUGUAUACAUAUACAAAUCAAUUCGGUAAUGUAUAUCCAAAUACGAAUCAAUUCGGCAAUGUAUAUCCAUAUACAAAUCAAUUCAGCAAUGUAUAUCUAUAUACAAAUCAAUUAGGUAAUGUAUAUCUAAUUACAAAUCAAUUCAGCAAUGUAUAUCUAUAUACAAAUAAAUUCGGCAAUGUAUAUCCAAAUACGAAUCAAUUCAACAAUGUAUAUCCAAAUACGAAUCAAUUCGGUAAUGUAUAUUCAAAUACAAAUCAAUUCGGCAAUGUAUAUCUAUAUACAAAUCAAUUUGACAAUGUAUAUCCAAAUAUGAAUCAAUUCGGCAAUGUAUAAAACAUAUACAUUUGAAUUAAAAAAAUAUUUAUUUACUUAUGAACUUACCUCGUACGGAAAUAAACGGAUUGGAUCAACUACUUGUCAACUUUCGAUUUCCCCCGAUCUAAAUCUGAUUUCUUUCUUUUUUGAUCUAAUUGAUUUCAAAUUUAACUCAUUUAAUCACAUAUUCAUUCAAUUUCAUCCAAAAUACCUAUUUGGACAUUUUUGCACUUUAGCCCCUAAAGUUUCACAUUUAUUCAAUUUAGUCCCAAUUUAACAAAUACACAAAAUUUGCACAAUUCAAUAUAACCCAAGCUUAGUAGAAUUACUAUAGUGCCCCUAGCAGCCCAAAAAUUUUAUUUAUUUCACAUUUCAACCACCCAAUUUACAUAUUUCACAAUUUAAUCCUUAUUUAACAUUUUUGUCAAAAAUCACUUUACAAAACAUAUUAAUCUAUCAAAAAUUAUUCAUUUUCCAUCAUCAAGAUUCAAAAACAUCAAGUUAUAAUUAAUGGAAACUCACAAAUUCGUCAACCAAUUCAAAAAUUAGGGCAUGGACUAGCUAGAACAUGAAGCAACGAUCUCCAAACGUAAAAACUAUCAAAAAUGGGACAAAAGCGCAUACCUAAUUGAGAUUACAAGCUUGUUCGAAUGUUUUGCACAAAAAUGGAUUCUUUCCCUUCUAAAAAUCGGUGGAAGAUGGUAAUGGAAGAUGAUGAUAAUUUUGUUUUGUUUAUUUUUAACAUUAAUUACUAUUUUACUUAAUUAACCUUUAUAAACUUUAAUAAUUACACAAAAUGCCACUCUGCUAUCAUCCACUAACUCAAAAAUGGCCUAUUUAACACUUAAGGACCUUUUCUUUAAUAUUCUAUAGCUAUUAGACACCUUUAGCUUAUAGAAUAUAACUUUUACGCUUUACGCGAUUUAGUCCUUUUUACCGAAUUAAGCAUUCAAAUAGUAAAAUUUCUUUAUGAAACUUUCACACAUAUAUAAUCACAUGUUGUAAAUACCAAAAAUAAUAUUAAAAUAAUUUUCUAACCUCAGAUUUGUGGUUCUGAAAUCACUGUUCCAAUUUAACUAAAAUUGGGCGAUUACAUAUAUUAUUGUUUUCAAAGAUAAAUAUUGCAUUAUAUUUGAUUCAUUAGGACAGGAAGUUUUGAUUGUCUCAAUGAACAAUAGAAGAUUUCUACUAGAUUGGAAUUUUAUGGCCUUGAGAGCCUAUACCAGUUCAAUAGAUAAAUCAUAUAGUUGGCACAAAAGACAGGGACAUGUGAACAAGAAGUUCUUUAGUCAAGUGUGCAAACCAAAGACAAUUGUGAAGAUAACUAAUGUUGAAGAUAAAGAUUUAGAUAAAGGCUUUGAUAACUUUCCUGUUAAAGAUACCAGGUUUGUUGUUGAAACUUAUCACAGAUGUGACUUAGCAGUAUGGGAGUCUACAAUUUUGAAGAAGUUGCACAAGAAAAAAAAAUUGGUGCUUGUUGCAAAAUGGUCAAGAAAGAGUGUUCAAAGUUGGUCAAUCAUGCAGUAGAAAGCAGCAGGAUAAACUGUGAGCCUACGAGCUCACCAAAAUGCAAGUUGCGAAGCCAGCAAAAAUGUGUGUUGAUAGAUGUCGAACUAUGAAAGUGCAAGCUACAAGCUAAAUGAAAUAUGUGCUACAAAAGUGCGAGGUCAUAAAAAUGCGAGCUCAUCGAAGCACAAGCUUGAGAGCAGGCUAAGAUGCAAACUUGCUGAUACUCUAACAAAAUCCCUUGGGAAGAUGAAGUUUGAAAAACUAGGUUAUGAUAUUGGGGUUCGCAACAUGGAGGCCAAGGAGGAGUGUUGCGAGGUUGCCAUCCAUGCAUUGGCAAACCUAGCUCCUACAUGAUUGCGAGCUCACCAUAUCUGCGAGCUCACCAAAAGAUGCAAGCCCACCAAGACUGCGAGCUUACCUACGAACUAUGAAUUGCGAGCUCACCAAGAACUACAAGCUCACAAAAAUGUGCGAGCUUGCCAAGAUCACGAGUUCACCAAGCAUGCGAGCUCACCUGCGAGCUCUUCACUCUGCAAGUUGUCAACUUGCACUAAAACUGUGAUAAAUUUUGAUUAAACAUUUUGACAGGCCAUUAGACAGAAACCAGCAAAUGAAAAAGAAAGUUAUAUGAAUCUAGUCACUGAAUUAAGCCAAGUUGUAAUAUUUUAUUAUUAAUUUUAGCUUAUUUAAGCAUAGUUUUUCAUGUAAACUAAGCAUCAAUUUUUUAAUGAAACAGAUCACCAAAAACUAACUUCUCCAUCUUUCAUCUUUUGCUUCUGUUUCAGCCUCUCAUUCUUCAAAAAUCCAACACAACUCUUCUUUGCUUGCGCUUCAAGGUUAUUCAUUGUCUCUGACUCUUCCUUGAUUUUCUCUUUUGCGUGAUUCACCCAAAUCUGGCCAUCUUGGUCAAACUCUUGUGCCUUUUCCUUGGCAACAUCAAUGUAAUGCUGCACUCUGUCUCUUUGAUAUCUCAGUUCCUUAAUUUGUUCCUUCAGAUUCUGAACUUUACCAUCAGGAUUCAACAUGUAACGUUUAAACCCAGAAACAAACUCCAUUUUAGGGGGGGUUCAAUUUAUAGUAAUUGGUAAAGCAGACAAAGCAAACCGAAAACAAAAUAGCAGUGAAUGAAUGAUCAAACUAUGGUGGAGCAAAUGGAUGAAUGAUCAACUAUGGAGCAAAUGGAGUUUCAAUCUUUGCAAUGAAGGGAAAAAAGAAGCAAUGAAUGGCAAAGACAACAAGGCAAAGGAAGCAUCAAAAGGUAAAAUAAAGAACAUGAAGAUAAAACUAAGAAUGUAGAAUCAAUGCUUUGAUCAUUUGCAGAAGUUAAGGUUUUGAUCAUUAGAAGGUCAAACUCUUAAUUCUUAUGACUGGUUGUUUAGAGUCUUGCCGGUCUCUAACCGAGUUAGCCUAAUUGAGUAAAAAAAUUUGGAAAUAAUAGAGUUAGUCGAAUUGAGUAAUAAAUUUUUGAAUUUUGUUGGUUUUGAUAAUUUUCUUUAUAUAAUUUUUUAGAUUUUUUGAAAAUAUUUAUAAUUUUUUAAAAAAUAUUAAUUUUGAAAUUUUAAAAUUUAUUUUAAUUUUUGCUGAGAGAGUGACUAAUUUAUACAUUUUCAAUACUGACAGGGACCAAAAGAGUAUUUAUUCUAAUUUGUUAUUCGAAUUAUUUGAAUUGUAAAAUUUUAAUUUGACUUGAACUCAAAACUCGAACUAUUUAUUUGAGUUAACUUGAAAUUUUUGAAUAACUUGAUUCGAUGAAAAUCUAAAUUUUUUUUUAUUUUUUUGAAUCGAAUCUUGACAAAGUAUAAUGAUAUCUUUGCUCUGACAACUUUUCAUUUUUCAAUACAUGUUGCAAUUAGUGUCUUAUUUGAUAAAUUUAUUUGAAAGUGGAGCUUCCAUAUUUAAGUUCUAAUUGUUGAUUAAAUUAUUUAUACAUUUCUUAACAAAUUUAUGUAUGUUUCUUCUUUUCAUAUUUUUGAAAAAGAAAAAGAAAGAAUUCUUCAAAGAAAAGAAAAAAAAGUUAAAAUGAAGCAAAACGGUUUUGGAAGGCAAAGAAUAAAGUGCAGAGAAGCUUUAAAUGUUUAAUGUUAUUUAAACUUUUUUUUCCAAUUUUCCAUAAGAAUUUUCUGUUUUUUUAAGUUAAAAUUUUAAAGAUUGGAAAAUCAUAAAGGAAGGAAUUUCUGGGUUCUAAAUAUUCUUAAAGAGUUGAAAUUACCGCAAUAAAAGUAGUUAGGAAAAUCAUGAAACUUUGAUUUUCAUCGAUUGUUAAAAGAUACUUGUAAUUCAGUUCAACACUAACAACUAAAGUUACAAAUUAAAAUGCAAUCGCUCAUGUACAGCACACUGAUAGGCUAGAUUAUGGGAUGCAUUUCCGGACUUAGGUAUGAAAAUAUGACUUGCAAAGACGAAAAAGAAUAUAAAAGAAAUGGAACAUAUCAUUGUUAGAAAUAUGCUCUUAUCUGACAUUCAAACUCAAAGUUGGAGUAACAUAGCUAGGAAGUGAAAUACCAACUUUAGAUCAAUGAAUAUGGCUGCAACUGAGCAGCAGCAACAUACUCUAGUAGACAGCAUUUGAACUCGCAAUGAAAGGGGCAUCUUCCAUAACUCUUUAUAAAGCGACUGUGCCAAAAUGGUAGGUGAAAUAAUCAAUUUCUGCCAUUAAACUACAUUUUAUGCUUAAGCUCAAUACUUAAAGUAUGAUAUUUUUAACACUCAUGGAACACAAAAUCAUUUCUGUGAUUCUUUGAAACUCAUACUUUUCUAAAGCAAAUAUCUCCACUCUUCCUUCAAUAUUGGCCUUUCUGUAGUAUGUAUCCUUGAGCUGAAACUCUUCCAUAUGAAUAGCCUAUAAAGUAGAAGGAUGUAAUAAGUUCAGGAAAUUACAGAUUUAAGGAUCUUUCCAUAGCAAUGGAUUGAGUGAUUGUCGCUGCAUGUAAAUUGCUGGCAUGUUUAUUAUUUGCAUCCACUGUAAUUUCAUCAUUUAUCCCCUUACAUGAAAAUGUAAAAAGAAUUCCAAAGUUCUGUUUUUUCUCCUUCAAUCAAACACAUAUGUAAGAUAUAGACUCACAAAGUUAGUUGACUGGUUGUGCCAUAUCUUUCUCCAGUUUCCCACACCCGUGAUGCUCUGUUCCUCUAAGCAAGGUUAGUUUGCUAGAGAAAAACAAGUAGUACAACAAGAAUAGGGAAUCAAAUAUUUAACAAAAAUGAACAAUAAAAAAGACAUGAAAGAAAGCAAUGAUACAAGAAAACAAAAAUGGGACAUUACCUUUCAAUGGAAAGAGUUGGAAAGCGAAUCUCUGAGUUGUUUCUUUCUAUCCUAAGAAAAUAAUGCCAGUGCCACUAGUGAUCAUAAGAUUGGCCUUUGUCCUCUUAAAUCAUUUUCUCCACCCUUCACAAUGUUCAUUCUCAAUUAAGUACGACUCACUAAUUCAAUUGUGACAAAAGUGGUAUUUGAGGGAAAAACUUAUCAGUUUACACGUAAGAAUAUCAUACAUAUUUACUAGUUACAAGUGUUUAACUAGGGAAAGAAGUAAACUCUAACACUAUAUAUCUAAUUAUAUUCACAACAUCAAUAAAAGCAAUUAAGCUUUUUUUUACUCAAAAGACUUUUGGAAUCUCAUCUCAAAACUGUUAACAUGCGGCUUCCGAUGUCAAAGUGGAGAAUGCUGAGGUAUAAUUCUCUGAGCAGAGCCUUGAAAGACUACCAAGUUCCAAAGACUUGAGUUGGGAGAAAACGAUGCCAUCCAUGACUUCAUCAAUGUAGAAAAGCUAUGAUUUCUUCUAACUUUUGGCAAUCAGUACUAACACUCAUUCUUGUGAGUUACACCAUGCUUUUAGCUAUUGUGAAAGCUACUAAAUUUCUGAAUCCAUGGCAUUUUGAUGCCUCUACAGUUGUCAAAUGUUUGAAUGACAAAAAAGAUGGCACUAAAUUCUUUAAUUUUCCGCAUCCCAACACUUGUAGAAAACUUCUGCAAGUGAUAGUUUGCUCUUCUAGAUAUGUGUCAACUCAGGAAGAUAAUACAACCUUAACUCCUUCAAGCAAGCAAGUGUUCCUGCACGUUCGUUUUCAUCUCUUACUCCUUCACAUGGAAAUAAUCCAUUGAAGGUAGCCCUUUGCCAAAAGAAAGGUAUUCAAGAUUUGGUAAUGACUAAAUGAAACAAUCUGAGAUAGUAAUUCAUGUUUCGGGACAAUCAAACUUUCUUAGUUUGGGCCAAUACUGUUUCGGGUCUGCUCCAUGUCCAUGCCAUACCUUCAUAUUGCCAUUCCGAACCAAAACCAAUUCUUCUAAAUUGGGGAAUGUUUCCUGAAAUUAAGAACCAUAUAUAUAUUAAAUAAAAGCAAAUCUUCUAAAGUGAUUGAUAAAAUAUGCAAAUCUGUUUAGAUUGACCUUUUAUUUAGUUUCUUUUAUGAGAUCUUACCUUAGUGACCCAAAAUAGGGGUUGUUGAACAGAGAUAAUGGAGUGGUUCUCUCCUUGUGUUUCUCUAAAGUUGAUAUACUCCCCAGCGAAUGUCUCCACCUUGCUGCAUUCACACACCUCCAAUUGUUUUAACAAUGGCCAAUCUGUAGUAUGCACCUUGGAGUACAAGCCCUUCAAUUUGGGUAGCUUAUGAAGUAUCAGCCGUCUUAUUUUAGGAAACAGAAACUUGGUAGUUGAUUUGAGCUCAAUUGAUUCAUUUGAGUUGAGUCCACGAUCGUCAGCGAGUCCAAUUAUUUCUUCUACCGACUCACAUUCCGAUAUUUCCAGACCUUCUAGUUUUUCAAGUCUUUCCACCAUAUCAAAUGGUAAAACAUUCGAAAGUUUGUCACAGUGUUCCACCACAAGGAAGGUUAAUUCAUGAAAUGAACCCAUAGUGAGUUUAUCAUGCCAUAUCUUUCUACACUUUCCCAUGCCUACAAUUCUCAAAUCAUUCAAGCUAGGAAACGCAACCUGUGGGAAUUAUUUAAGUUGUUAAUGAGGAAAACAAGUUAGAAUUCUACAUAGAUAUGAAAAGUAAUAUUACUACAAAAAAACAAAAAAAGAAUACCACCUUUUGGUUGAAGAGAGUAUUGGUCUCUGAGUUUUCUUGAUGGCAGAAUGUCCUUAGUUUUGGAAGCCUAAUGAACUCCAGUAUUUGUAGCUUAGUGAACAAGUAAAUCUGAGGUAUCCCUUCUCCUGCUGCUAAUCCAUCUGUAAAUAUUAUUUCUUCCAUGUUUUUGCAAUCAAGAAGGCUAAGUUGAUGGAGCCGCUCAAAAUUUUUGACUAAAAAGGAUGGGAAUAGAUAUUCCAAAUUGUGGCAACGCUUCACA
This 72755-nucleotide long non-coding RNA is filed under the name Gossypium barbadense (sea-island cotton). RNAcentral's name for it is "long non-coding RNA (GBAR_LNC021152)". The stretch from base 58223 to 58329 matches the Rfam family "Plant small nucleolar RNA R71". The record is from RNAcentral. Lineage: Eukaryota; Viridiplantae; Streptophyta; Magnoliopsida; Malvales; Malvaceae.